GCAACGUUGAUCAUUGACCAAUGUUCUCGAUUCAACCGAUCAGUUUUUGGCCGGAGGAUGGUAGAUGGGAGUUGGUGAUGCGUACGUUGGCGCUGGGGGGUGGUACUCAGGCUCAGGCUUUGGUUUGGGCUCAGGCUUAGGCUUCGGUGGCACAGGUUUCUUGUGGAAGUGGUCAAAGAACUUGUGAUAGUCAUGGUCCUUGUGGAAGUGAUCAAGGAAGUGCUUCUUGUCAAACGAUAUUUCUUUCACAACCGGAGGGUGGUAGAUCGGAGUCGGAGACCCGUAUGUGGGUGUCGGGGGGUGGUACUCAGGCUUAGGCUGCGGCUUUGGCUUUGGUGGCACGGGCUUCUUGUGGAAGUGGUCAAAGAUGUGGUGGUAGUCAUGGUGUUUGUGGAAGUCAUCGUGCAAGGGAUUCUUGUCGAACAAGUGCCUGGCAGGAGGGUGGUAGAUUGGUGUAGGUGACCCAUAUGUUGGCGUUGGUGGGUGGUACUCAGGCUCAGGUUGAGGUUUGGGCUCUGGCUUGGGCUUGGGUGGCACAGGCUUCUUGUGGAAGUGGUAAAAAAAGUGGUGGUAGUCAUGGCCUUUAUGAAAGUGAUCAGGCUCAGGCUGCGGCUUAGGCUGCGGCUUGGGCUCCGGCUUUGGCUUUGGUGGCACGGGCUUCUUGUGGAAGUGGUCGAAGAAGUGGUGGUAGUCGUGGUCCUUAUGAAAAUGGUCGAGCAAGGGCUUCUUGUCAAACAAAUGUCUAGCUGGAGGGUGGUAGAUCGGUGUGGGUGACCCGUAUGUUGGAGUCGGAGGGUGGUAUUCUGGCUGUGGCUUGGGCUCUGGCUUCGGCUUUGGUGGAACUGGCUUCUUGUGGAAGUGGUCAAAGAAGUGGUGUGGCUUAGGUUCUGGUUCUGGUUUGGGUUCUGGCUUCGGCUUCAGCGGAGAUGGCUUCUUGUGGAAGUGGUCCAAGAAGUGGUGAUAGUCGUGGUCCUUGUGGAAGUGAUCAACCAUGUGCUUCUUGUCGAACAACUGCCUUGCUGGAGGAUGGUAGAUUGGAGUUGGGGAUCGAUAUGUUGGCGUAGGGGAGUGGUACUUCGGCUGCGGCUUAGGUUCUGGCUUUGGCUUUGGCUCUGGCUUCGGCUUCGGUGGCACAGGCUUCUUGUGGAAAUGGUCCAACAGGUGCUUCUUGAUCGGCCCGCAUAGGGUUGCCGACGCGCAUUCUGCCGACGGGUAGUCUGUCUUGCCAGGGACCACGACGAAGUUGCCAUCGGACGACUGCGGCACAAUCCUGGAAGGUUCCUGACCGGGGCACGGGGUGCCCGCGGCGCUGUGGAGCUGCGCAACGCAGUCAGCGGCGUGCAUGUCCGUGCUCAGCGGGAUGCUGAAGGCGCCGGAGACAUCUAGCUUGCCUAUGGCCUUGCUCUCGUACUCGCCUUUGCUGUUCCUGCACUUGAUCGCCACCUCAAGACCUGAAAUGCAUGGAUCGAAAAGCACCGUCAGUACCAGCAGCUAGCUUCUUCUGACCUUACUGAUCAGCUUAAAGCAUUGAGUAUCCACUGUUUAUGUUAUUAGCUUAAUUAAAUAUGCAUGUAUAUUAUUCCUAGUAUAUUUACCCUUGAAUGCCGCUUCGGCCUUCAUGUUCUUCCUGGUGCAAUCGGCGCAUUUGGCGAGGCCGAUAACCACCGAGGACGCCUCACUGGAGGCAGCGCUUGCGACGGCUAUUACCAUCAGCACGGCGAAAAUGCCGGGGAGAAGGCCCCCAUGUACCGCAGCCAUGGCUAGAUGGAUGACUCGAUGAGAUGAAGAAGAGGCAAUGCAAUGCCUGCCUUAUAUAGGCCUACGCAUUGAUCAAACACAGCUCGAUCUUACAUGCAUGCACGCAUGAUCACGAGCUGGUGAGGACUGAGGCGCCAGCACACAUAAUUUUGGCGCCGAAAUUGCAGACCGGCCGGGAAUUAAUGCCGUCCAUUUGAGUUGAUCAAUCUCUGUCUGUCCAUUCAUCAUGUCCAGUCGGUUGGUAGUAGUUGGAGUUGUGUAAGUUACGUCAGUUGCGGCACUUUGGAUUUGCAUGCAUGCAGCGCCAGUACAUGCCCUGUGUAAUGCAGGUUUCCAUUGGUCACAUCGGAAAAGCAAAGCUUGUAAAAGCGCGUGUCCGGUGUGCUCAUCUGCUGGACAAUAAAUUUCAGAACAGUAUAGUAUAGUUUGGUUUGUUUCAGAAAAGGGACAGUACUUUCGGAAUGUGGAUACAAAAUAAGUUCUUUCUGACCGCGUGUAGUUGGAUACAACAUAUAGUAGCACAAAAAAGCUCUAUGAUGACGGUAGUGUCUAAUUUAUAGACGCGGCGAGCCCAAUUCAAGAACCGCCACUGUAAACCCAUUUACACUGACAGUUCACUUAAGGAAACUGUCAGUGUCAAUAGUGCAUUUCCACUAGCGGUUUCCUUAAGUGCUGUGCAAAUAGAUUUACACCAGUGGUACCUUAUGUCAGCCGCCAGUGAAGUUUUUGGUAUAAAUACUCAUUCUUCCUCCACGAGUAGAACUGUUUCUCACAACCACCUUCUAUUAGAGGCCAUUUUGGAGGUCUAGAUUUUUAGGAGGUUGCUAAGAAAUGUUAGUUUAUAUCUCUCUUGCCUCUUUUUGUUCAUUCUUGCUCAAUUUGAACCACUUUAUGGAUCUAGGAUUUCACCAUAUGUUAGAGAGAAGAAUAGCUAGGUUAUUAUCUUUAUUUGCUCAAAUGAUCUUAAGAUUGUUAGAUGAUGUCUCUCCUCUAUCCCUUUUUAUUUUUGCUUCUCACUUUAGUUUAUCCAAGAUAUAUUUAGUUAUUUUCAUGAAUUGUGUGUUCUUGUCUAUUUAUGUAGAUAGAGAAAUAUAGGUUCUUUUGUUAGUUUUAUAAAUUGUGUAGUUUUUUGUCUUCAUUUCUCAAUUUGAUUUAAUUAUCCACUAUGUAUUUAUGUUUCAUGAAUGGUGUGUUUGUAUGUAGAGGGGAAGAUAGGUUUCUUAAUUAAUUAAGAUUAUUGUGUUUAUUAAUUAGAAAAUAUGAAAGAGGUUUCUUUGUUUACCACUAUGUUGUUGACUGAGGUUACUUAGUACGGUUAAUUUUAUUCUUCUAACUUUUAGCGAACCUUGCUUCAAGGUCUAUAAAUUGGAAAAUAUACAAGUGGGAGGUUUUCAUCUUCAUUUCUUCGAAAGAGGUUGGUGAUCAAAAGAUUAGAUAAUAAAUAUCUCUAGACAAUCAUACUUGUUUUGCAUUGAUUAUAAUUAAUUCAUUAUAUUUUUUAUAUGUAAUGAUGGAGAGGUCAUUUUGGAUGUAUAAUUUAUCAAGACUAAAUCCAUCAUAUAUACCCGAGGUCCCUAGGUUUUUUGAUGCUGACUAAGAACCAUGCUUGGAGAACAAAGAUGAAGCACAUCUAUUGUCCAUGCAUAGACUGUACAAAUGUUAUUGUAUUUGAUGACACUAAAUCAAUCAUUUAUUAUUUGGUCUAACAAGAAUUUAUGAUGGAUUACUUGUUUUGGACAAAGGGUAGCUUGCGCCUUAUACAAAUAGAAACCUUACGAACAUCGACGUUGAUGCUGAUGGAUUUCCGUUCCUACAUGAGAUACAACAACCUCUUUCCUAGAGUGAACAUGUUGUGCCAAAUGUUACGGUUAUGGAAGAUGUAGAAUUCUUAGGGUAAAGUUGCAUCAUCAUAUGGAUCCAUGAAUAUUAUUAAUGAAAGGUAUGGAAGCCCUGAUAAAGGCUGCAGAAGAGACUUUGCACGACGAGUCUAAGGGUUAUACCAAAGAGUUCAUGACACUGCGGUCUAUGCUAAAGUUGUCGAUGUUAAAAGCUAGAUAUGGUAUGUCUGAUGCUGGCUUGGAUGCAUUCUUGUGUAUUAUUGCAGACAUGCUUCCAAAGGGAAACAAUGUGUGUGCUAAGACGUACUAUGUAAAGAAACUAAUCAGUCCGCUCACUAUGGGUAUGGAGAAGAUCCACGCGUGUCAUGAUGACGAUGAUUAUAAGGACUUAGAGAGUUGUCCAAAGUGUGGUGCAACUACGUACAAGACAAAUAAAGACUAUCGAGAGAAAGAGUGUGUUGCCUCCAUUUCUAAAGGAAAGAAGCGAAAGGAGACCAAAUAGAACAAACAAUAAAGUUCAAAAUCUAGAAAAAUAUUCCUACUUUGAUGAUGUGGUGUAACACCCUAGUGUUAAGUAUGCAUUAAGGCUUCAUCAAACUUAUAUGAGCAUUGGCACAAGCAUGAGCAUCUCAUGUGUUGUGCUAUAUUUUAUGCAUAUCUUUUAAAUGUGAAUUAAUUUUGAUAAUUGUCAUGCUAUGUCUAAAAAUGCUUGUUAUGCCUAGAUUAAAUUGUUUUAUGCCUAAACUUAAAUUAGAAAAUUUAAGUACCAUUUUUGGAGCCCUAGAAUUAAAGGAGUUGAUUUAAAUUAAAAUUUCGCAAAAUAGAUUUAUUUCAAACCUAGAACUAACUUUAAAUUGAAAUUCAAAAUCCAUUUGGAUUCUUGAUUUGCACCAUAAAGCAAAGUUAUAGAGAAUUUUAUUUUGAGCAACUUUUAUUUUUGGGUCAACUCCUGAAAAUGCAUUUAAAACAGUGUUUAAAAAUUAAUUGAGAAAAUAAAUUCAAAAAAAAGAGAAGGGAGGAGCGCCCUACUGGGCCACGCACCUUGCUUCUGGCCCAGCAGCCAAAGCCGGCCUGGCUCGUGAGCACAUCCCCUUCCUCCUCAGGCGCGCACUGUGGCCAGGUGACGUCGUGGCCGACCGUGCGUAGGCCAGCCGCGCCACGUGGAUGGCAAGCAACGGCAGCGGCUACGACAGUGCCUGCUUGCCCGAGCAGAAGGGGACGACAGCGGCUCUGCGUUGUCCACCUUCUCCACUCCACCCCGACCACACCUCUCUUGCUCUCGUCUCACAAAGCAGAGCUUGACAGCACCAUCGUCCGCCAUAGCCGCUACCGAGCUCCAGCGUCGACGUUCCAUCUUGUUGGUCGCUCCCGCCCUCGAUUCCUCCUGUCCACCGCUCCGUCUUCAUUCUCCUCAUCUCUGAAUGAGUCGGAUUGCCUCCCUUGGCUCAAGGUGAGGGAUAGCCGGCUGUCUUCUUCUUCUCUAGUGUGAACGUCGCAGCGGUUCAUGUGGUCAGCAAGGCCGCCGAGCCUCUUCCUCCUUCCUUUUGCGCGCAUCACAUUCGCCUUGACCUCGCCAAGCUCGUGCGUGCUCUGGUUCAUGCUCUACGCCGGAGUUCGUGAGUCCACCAUCCAGCAGAGCCAUCGUGCCGCCAUGGCCGGCGACGAGCUUGCUUCGGGGUGUCUCCAGACAAACCACCGCGCGCAUCCUGUUCGCCUAGGCUCGGGGAACACACAUGAGUGCUCGGUGUUGCCGUAGGGUUCACCGACAGCGAGAUCAGGCUCGCCGGAGUUCUCCCCCUCUCUGUGUGGCUAACAGGUGGGGUCGAGGACCCACUUGUCUAUACCUGUGUGCGGAUGCGGGUGCACUGCACCGGGUACACCUAGUAGAACUCGCCGAGACUUGAUUCUCAAUUUAAAGAAAUGUUUUUCAGAUAAUGGUUUAAAGCUUGUAAAAAUCAUAGCUUGAUUUCUAUUGCUCCAAAAAGUUUAAACAAAUUUUGUUAUGCUCUAUAUUAGUAGAUCUAAAGUUCGGUGUACUUGGUGUGAGACUUUUCUGUGAAGGUUUAUUUAAAUCUUGAAAAUAUUGAUUUCUUAUAAAAUAUGCAAAAAAUAAAAUAUAGCUCUGAAAAAUGUACUUCCUAUCUUGGUACAUUUGCACUACAAUCUAGCCUCUGUGAAAAAUGAGGAACCUAAUAUUACUCUACAAAAAUAAUUAUUAGUGAAUUAAUGCUUGCAUGAUGAUGGUUUAAGAUUUUUAAUAAAUAAUAUAUAAAUGCAAUUAAUCUAAGAAUUUUUGUAGGGCUCUCCUAUGUUACAAAGUAUUAAGGAAAAAUAUUAAAUUUGUUGUCUGACACUUUUGUAUGUAUAGAGUAUUUUCCAUUGUUUAUGUUUAGCAUACUUGUGAUUUUUGUGUGGGCCAUUUUACUUACCCAAAUUUUGUGAAAGUUUUAUGGUAGACUAUAUGUGUGAUCUAUAAGCUACUGUAAUUUUUAUGGAACUUAUUGAAUACCAGAGGUAUAUGUUGUUGUUAUUGGCCUAGUAAUAAAUAAAUAAAUAAAGAAUUAUUUUAUGUGAACUUGAAAGUAAUUAAACAGUUUGGUGUAUCUUUGAAGCAUUCUAAUGUGUGCUGCUUUAUCUUGGUAGGUGUAGAAAAAGAAUAGAAUAGAAUAACUUGUACUUAAGUUACAUGUUCUUGGAUGACAUUGACUACCUAGUACAAAUAGAUCACAUUGUCUUUUUGUCAUGACUCCCCUCUACCGGAGAGGAGAUAUGCACAUACUCAGUAAAUAACACAUCAUGACCACCCUUGUGAUCAUCUGCAUAAUCAUGCACCAUAUGUUCACCAUCCACUUACUUGAGCAUAUGCAUCAUACAGGCUCGUAGAAGAACGACGUGGUGACCGAACCUGAGGAGCCGGAGGUGACCGAGGUGCAGGAGAUCACUGAGGUGGAAGAGCAAGAAGAGGAGCUGCAAGAGUGUCUAGAUCACAGUCCUAGUUCUUUCGAGAAAGGCAAGCCUUGCUCCCCAAAUUUUCUGCUAAUUAUAUAUAUAUCAUGAUGGUUAUAUUGUUAUAUUAAGUUAUAGGAGUUGCUUGAUACCAUUGAUGUAUUGAAUAUCCCUUGGAAUAUCACCUUUCUACAUACCUUAUCCUAUGUAGUAUGGGCUCAGAGUCAAUGCUUAGCUCUGCUUAGCACAGUAGAAGUCGGAUGAUUCCCUGUCACCUGCGAGCUGUAGGUGGUCACCAAAGGUUUGGCAGUAUGUUUGCUAUCAUAAGUAAUAACCAAAUGUUGGGAAGCAAAGCUAAGACCGGACGAAACCUUUUGGGGGUGUUGGACCAUAGUGAUUCUGUCCUUGUCGAUUAAGGACCGAUCAUUGGUGGUCCUCUUGUCAUGUUGAACGCAUACCCUACACUUAACUUGAAGGAUAAGUUGUUCUGACUGUGAAGGUGGGACGCUAUUUGGGCCAGGAAUUGACCUGAUGUACGCACUGUAUUGGAGAUAGUUGAGGAGACUGAUGAGGGCGCGACGUGCAACCUUGGUAUGCCUUGGAUACCUUUGUCAUCGGAACGGUCCUUGGGUAUGGUGGUGCCUGCUGAACCGUGAAUUGGUCCUGAAUAGUGCAUCCGGUGACCUGUAGCUUACUUGAUCAGUGAGUGUGGCUUAUGUAGGGAAUAAAAUCACUAGCUGGUUAGGAAUUGUUUCGAAUCAUCAUCGCUCCUGGAUAGUAAGCACUUGACUUGAGCUUUGUCAUCGUAUUAAUGUUUAUGGAACACUGGAUGGUUAUGAGAUAUUGAUGAAGCUGGAAAAGCUGCACUAAAUUGGUAUUAUUGUACUGAAUCAAGUGAUUGCUAUAGUACAGGUGUUAAUCUAGAUGAUAGGUUAAUGAUACUUAACUUGAGCUAAUUAUCUAAAAAGGUUAUUUACUUAGUAACUUAAGAUUUUAUGGAAAGUUUGUGUCGAGCUACCCCUUUAUACAGCCUUACAUGAUCUUUGGUGUCAUUUAUUUCUGUUUUGUGAUAGGUAAGUCUAGCUGAGUAUAUUCUCAUAAUCAGGGCUCUGUUUCCAUGUUGUUUUGCAGAUGGGCAGAUGUACUAUGGGUACUGUAUUAACUGUCUUUACCUAGCUAUGGGUGAUGCUUAGACCAAUGGUGUGGUCACUUUGUCUUAUCUUUUGAUUUUGUGGGAAUCAUCAGACUCUAGCACUGUAAUCAAACUAAGUUUGUGUGUUUUCUAAAACUAUUCACUUCCGCUACUACUUUCAAGACUUGGUUUGUAAUAACUAAAUUCAAACUCCAAUGUACUGAAAUGUUUGUCAAUGAUAUGUAUUGUAUGAAUGGCGACCACUGAACUUAUUACGAUCUCUGUUAUGUUUGAGGAAAUUUUGAGAUCCUUCGAGAUUUCAUGGACUACCGGGAUUAUAUGGGCUUAAGUCUUUUAUAAUUUGGACAGUUCUGUUACAGCUAGUGUUGGAGCCAGUUUUAGCGGAUUACAGUUCAUAAGUAUAUUUAAAACAAAUUAAAUUUGUUUACAAAAACUGAUUAUCCAUCACGAAUUAUCAAGGUGUUAAAGUGAAUUUUGGAAAAUUAUAAGUGUGCUAGUGGUCAUAUCCUUUAUGUCUAGUUAAAGACUCUAAGGUGGCUAUUUAAGUACUGACUUGUUGGUUUAUGCAUCAUAUUUCUCUUUCAUUGCUCAUAUGGCAUUGUUGACAUUUACUACCGCCAUUACUAAAAAUAUAGAUAAACCCUACCUCUAGCAACAACGGCAAAAAUGCUCGGUAUAUAAUUAACUUAUCAUUAAGCAACUAGCCACUUCUUAAUGACUAACAUUCCUAAACAUGAAGUAGGUUGUCAUCCCUAAUUAUAUUGCUAGGAAUUUAUUAUAUAUUCACAUGUACUAUUGUGACUAGGCAGAAAUAAAAGAUAUGAAUAUGAUUAUAAACUAAAUGGGUUCUAGAAGUGGACAGAUAAUUAUACCAUUGUAGGAUUUUACCUAGGGAAGUAUCCAGGUUGUCGAUUUAUAUUUAUACCACUGGGAAGGCUAUGUGUUAAACAAUAAUCUAUUAUAUUGAUAAGAAACUAUAUAGGAUGAAUAAAUGAUAUUACCAAGGUUGUCUAAUCUACUCAUAACAGGUAGAGGUCACAAGAUAAAUAUGGGUAAAUAAUAAUGAUAGCAUAAUCAUCAAGUAUCAUAUUUAUGAAUAAUCAUUAGAGCAUCUACUAGUCAUGAUCAUAGUUAGCCAUUAGAUAAACUAGGGAGUUGGAUCUAAGGUAAUUCUAUAACUACAUCACUGAAUAACUCUAAUUAGUGCAAUUACAUCUAGAAAUCAUUGUUGAGCUAACCCUAUAUCAUAGUCACAUGUAAAGAGGCAUCAACUAAUGAGGGUAUUAAGACACAAGGGUCACCUCCUUCGCGACCGUGCCCAUGCUAGUCCUACGUACGAAGGGUGGACUACAGAGGAUACGCAACUGUCACCUAUGCGGUCUACCACACGACCCGACACGUCAGAGUGCACUCGCAGAUAAACAAUAUAUCUAGACACCACGUCUACAUAUUAUCUAUCAUCAACCCAAAGAUCUAUUAGGUCAACGCUAUAUGAGCAAUUACAUGAAUUCAAUAAGAUCAAACCAACUAUCCUAGACAUAUAAUCAAAGUAGACAAUGGCUAUUGCAAUUAAGAAUAUAUGAAUCUAUUAAGAACAAAGUCUCCCUAAUAUACAAUUGAAUACUAUAAAGUAAGAACAAGAUCUAUUACCGAACUCUUGCGCUCCAGACCGAAGCUAGGGGCUCCAGAUCCCGAUGAAGAACUAGAUCUCCUCUACUUCCAAUCUAACUAACUAGAACUACGAACUAGAAGGCUCUUGAUGAACUUGAAGGCGCUUGAUGCUUGAUGGCUCGAGGCCUUGAUGAAUAAUGGAUUGGUUUAUUUCUCCAGGGGGGUCUACCCCUGUAUUUAUAGUCCGGAGGGAUGCGCGUGCGUCGUAGGAUCAAACCGACUUAACCAAGGGCCGAGAUGACUCCUCGUAGGUGGUGGAGGAAGCUUCUAGAAGAGGAAGGUCAAAACCCUAGAUGGGGCACCAGCCGGUGCUAGGGUGGGGCCAGCUGGCCCCACCUGGCAGCCGCCUGGCCCCCUGUUGCUUUGGGUGUCUUCUCGAUCCUUCCUGAGUCCUCCCGUGAUAUUUCCCGUGGUGGAUAAGUUUCGUGUUUAUUUUGUACUAGAAUCCCUCUUUUCAGCUUUCCUAGAAUUCACCCUGAAAAAUACAGGAUAUACAAAACUCGUGGAAAUUGUCAGUUUAAACCCUAGACUAGUGUGUUUUCAUGUUCUCCUUCGGGUUUAAAGCUCUAUAAAAGUUGACGUUAUCGAUCAUCAAUCUCACACCCAUAUUUUAAGAACAAAAUAGGAUGCAUAAAAGACUCAUAUGUGCCCCAGAAACAGUCGCACACAUAAGUAGACAAAUCUCAAAUGUACCAUUGCAGUGUUUAUUACAUAGGGGAACAAUAAUAAAUCACAUAGUCUUAUACAAGAAUGAUAAUAAGAUUAAACAACGCUCUCGACGGAAGCACCACACAGGGACACUGUUGACUAGUUGACUCCAAGCCUAAUACUCAUAACGGUAGUCCUCAUUCCAAUCAUCAUCAUUAGCAUAACCUGGGGUGUUGGGAAAUUGCAAGAGUGAGCACAUAUAGUACUCAACAAGUAUAACCAGGGGUUCAUGAGGCUCAAAUAGCUGACACUGGUUUUACUGAAUUUAGCUUUUAUAUGUAGAUAGCAUGUUUAUAUUUAGAUAGCCAAUAUCAAGGUAGCAUAGUAAAUCCCAUAACCACAUGAUCAAUGUAUACAAGAAUAAAGAAUAACACAUAUAAAUAACAUAAUAAACCAUCAUUUAUUAUCAUUAAUCAUAUUCAUCAGUGUCCAUCUAUUCCGUCAGUUUUUUGGGCCGCCCGUAUCCGUGGGCACGGCUAGUAUACCAGAUUUAACACUCUGCAGAGGUUGUACAUCUUUACCCAUGAGUCAUGAUUUACCCUUUCGCCCAAGGUAGCUAAUAUCUUAACCUCCUUCCUAGGGAGGUCGGUAGGGAUCACUAUGAAGCCUUUCAAAAGUUCGUCUAACAUGUUAGGGCCGCAAAGUUUCCUUCGUGCGCAGAUAUAGAUACCCCCCUUCCAAAUGGCAUAAUGACGCGCAGCCUAUACACAUAAGGAUAGGGGCUCGCACUAUACCCAAAACGGUUCAGCCCCUCUAGCGUCCUUUCGGGUAACCUCUAACAAGCUAGAAAAGGUCUUCAUACUGAGCUAAAGCCAGAGCCAUAUAACCCUCAUAGUUGUACGAGUUAUCCCAGCUUUUGCCAAGGGAUAAGUCCUUAUGAAGGGUCAAGAUCAAUCCAGCAAAAGCCAGAGUUCUUUCCACCCUUUAUAUUCAAGUUGCUAGAAAGCUUAUUUUAUUGUUUAUUGUAUAUUCAAAUAUUUAUGUUACAAGAUCAUGGAUUAAUAAUCAAGCACUAGCAAGAACUACCCACAUGCAUAUCCAAAUAGGUAACAAGGAAUUCAGGAUAACAAUCAUCUAUGAUUUUGCUAAAGUCAUCAAGGUGGACACAUGCAUAUGAUAUAUGUAUUAAAAGUGUGUAGGUAACAAGGAUGAUCCUAAGUUAUACUUGCCUUGAUCAAAGCUCUCCUGAGCCUGCUGCUGGUCUUCAAAAGAUGGACCUUGAUCACCAACGUAUCAUUCUCUGUCUAUACUCAAUCAUCAAUCAACAACACGCAAUCCAAUGUAGACAUUCAUACACGAAGCAAACAAGCUAUUAUUAGAACAAUACACCAAACAAUGGUAAAACAAAUAUAAAAGUUUAUCAAAAUAUUCUACGCAGCGCUACGAUCACAUAAAUGUAAAGUUCACGAAAAUCAGAAUUAAAACGUAGAAGAUAUGAAUUUUCCAAGAUUUCCUAUUGAUAAAUAAUUAGUUAAAUACUACUGCAAAAUUAAAAAGUUUCAAAACAGAGAACUAAUACUCCUAACAUGUAGAGCUCGUAAUUACGAACCUAACGCACUUUGAAUGGACAAAAAUGGAGUUAAAACGAAUAUUUUAUGAGCAAAACAAAAUCAAUGGCAAUUCUGUAAAUACUGGAAAGCGUAAUUUGAUUCAAACCGACGAAAAUACGCUUUUAGAAAAUGAAAACGUAAACCAGAAAAUACGUAAAGGACGGCGGGUUGAUUCCUCGGACCCUAGGGGUCUCUUUAGCAAAAUAACCCCUGAAGGGGUAUCUUCUGUUCUGGUGCGUCGGAUUUCGAUCGGACGGUUGAAAUUGCGCAGGGGUGAGAUCCGGCCGACUGCCUCGCCGGAACAGGAGCCCGACGCGGCGGCGCCAUGGCCGGAGGAGCCGAGCUCGGCGGCGCUCAUGGUUUCGACGACUCAGAGCCUCCGCGGAAGAAAGAAAUGCACCGGGCGGAAGAGGAGCUUACCCCGAGCUCGCCUAAGCACCUUUCUAAGGCCGAGGACGCGCGUAUGGAGCUCGCGGCGGCGGCGAGAAGAACUUUGCUCGGUGAGAUCCCAAAACGCAAGAAAACGGUGGCUAGGGCACAGUUUGGCAAUUUAGAUGCAAAGAGGAGUUUGCGGCGGUGUUAGGGAGUCUUAUAGGACGCGAUUGAGCAAGAAAGCCCGGGUUCUUCGGGAUUUGGAAGGUGCGGCUUGAGUCCGGGUCAGUGACGGCAUGAGGAAGAUGGGAAAGGGGAGGAAGAGGCGCUGACUGUUGACGGUUCUUAAGUAUCAAUUUUAAUUAUCAAAUAAACAAGAGAAAGGACCAAUAUGCAACCAACACCUAGAAUUAGGGUUUGAUCUGACAGAAUUCCACGAGUUUUGUUGUUUAUCUGUUUCUGCAGGGGGUUAUUAGGAAAUUAGGAAGAAAGGCCCACAUGUCGGGAUUACAUAGAGAUAUCAACGCACCGCACAAUUUUCUACCAUCUAGAAGACUCCAGAAGCCACGAGAAGAAAGCAGAGGCCGAAAGGGGCCAGGCCCAGGGCGCCCGCCCUGAGGACCUGGGCGCCCGUCCCCCUCUGGAUGUCAAUCAGGACUCUUUUCACACACGACGUUCCACCGACCUAAAGGAUCAAGGAUAACGUAGUACCACAUCGCCUACUGGACCAAAAAUGCACAGAGGAGGAGGACUAUAUAAGCAGACCCCUUGGCCUCUGGAGGGACGGAAGUUUAUCAUAGAGUUGAGGGGUGCCCUCGAAGGAAAACCUCUUCUCUAAAUAAAAUUUCUUUUUAGGCUUAGCAACCAAUGUAAGUAGAAAUAGAUCUUCUAGUUUCUACUAGAUUGAGAGAGAUAGAGUGGAGGUGUAGAUCGGAGGAAGCCCGGCCUGUCGGUGUCUACUUCGAGCUUGUACCUGCGGGAUCAAGUUCUCCUAACUCGAGGCUUGCUCCUAGGAUUAUUCAGUAUUUCGACUUCUAAAUUAUAGUAAGUUCUUAUUUUAUUGUUCUUUUGGUUUAUGAGUUUACUUUAAUCUCUUCGCGUAGAGUUUAGAGUAAUCAUCUCUAGCGUAGACGUGGUGUUUAAGCUAGGAUACUCAUAGAUAUUCCCUGACUAGCUAGACCGUGGUAGUAGCGAGGAACGUGACAUUUCCGAGUUACCUUUGUAGACCAUAUCUCGUUAGCAGGAAGGAUAGGGUUUAUAGGUGCGGGUUGAACAUCCUUUCUGGUGUCUAGAUUCCGUUAGCGUCCCCAAUAGAAUAGUAGAUCAUCCUUACCAAGGUUAGAAGGAGAUUACGGUUGUAGUAUUCUCUAUUUAUUACUCACAUCGAGAAACAUUCUUUGUUGCCUAAACGGUUAGUAGUAAUAGACCAGGUUAGUCAGAUGCACUCUUUCUCCUAGUGGUAAAAAUAUAAAUACGAUACUCUGGAUAACAUCCCGGGUGAAGUGCUCACCGAUAUCCGUGCGCUUGCGGAUCAAUUCCUUAUUGCGUUCCCAAAUAUCAACAAUCAUUUCUGGCGCCGUUGCCGGGGAGAAAGACGGUUUGCUGAGAUAACCUUGAGUCUUACUACUAGCUUGUAUCUAUACUUUUAUCUUUUCUUAUCUUUUAUAUUCUUUAUCCAUUUUCUUUACUCUUACCUUAUGGAAAACCAAGAUUCUAAAUCAAUCUACCAAUUUGCAACACCUUCGGAAACUGAUCUUUUACCAUGGGAGUCAUCACAGCCUAUCCAAACAUCCCAGUAUAAGUUAAGUUCUAGGUUGAUUGCCAUGAUUCAAAACCUAUCUUUUUCGGGAAAGGAAGACGAAAACCCUUGCCUUCAUAUUAGAGAUUUUGAGCAAACAUGUGAUUGUCUUUGCAUUGAAGGCAUUUCUGAUAAAACUUUACGUUGGAAGCUUUUUCCUUUUUCUUUAAGUAGAGAAGCUAGACAAUGGUACAGUCAGAAGGUAAGUCAACAACGAGGUGAAUGGGGAGUUUUACGAGCCAACUUUUGUCUAGAUUUUUAUUCCCUCGAUCGUAUCGGCGACCUUAGACUCGAAGUCCUAUCUUUUAAACAAAAAGAUAAUGAAACUUUGGGAAAAUCCUGGAAACGUUUUUCUGAUCUUUUAGAAUCUGGUCCAAACCUUAAUCUUGAAGACCCUGUUCUUUUAUUUCACUUUUUUCGAGGUCUUUAGAAAAAUCACAAACAAAUGCUACACACAAUGUCUAGAGGUUCUUUCUUUCGCAUCCCUACUGAUGAAGCUAGAGUGAUCCUAGAUAGAAUCCUAGAAGCUGAGAUGGAUAAUACCCUUCAUGAUGAAACCUACGAAACCGAAGUAGACACUCUGCCAAAUUCUUCAUCUACUUUAGCUAUCCCAGGUUCUGAGCCACAAGAGGAAGAAAUUCCACCACCGGACUUCAUGCUGGAUAUAGAAUCCGAUUUUUUUGCCGAUUUUGGAAACAUUUCAGACUACCAUUCUAUUGACAAACCCCAAAAUGGCCAGUUUAGCAUUUAUUUGCCAAGUGAAUAUCAAUUGAGAGAGCUUAUCUCAGUCAUGAGUAGCGAAUGGUUGGAGGAGUCAGAGCUUUCCUCUGAUGUGAUCCGUUUGGACACACCCUCUAUAACUAUACGCUGUGUUUAUAAUUCUGAUCGAUUUAAUGCUCUUUGUAAUCCUGUUGUGGGGAUCAACAUCAUGUCUGAAUCUUUUGCACUUAAACUAUUUAAAAAUCUUGUCUUAACCCCCACAACAAAGGUCAUAAUGGAAUCUUCGGGACGAUUAGUCCCCAGUCUUGGAAUUAUUAAUGUCCUACCUCUUACGGUAGAAGGCUCCAUGGUUCAUUUGAACUUCUAUAUCUUUGAUACAUGGGACUUCGACCUGUUGAUAGGACAACCUUUUAGAAGACUCCUUUAUGAAGGUCAUACUGGAAAGCUACACAUUUCUUUUGGAAAAACUUUUAAAAUCCCAAUAACAAUUUCACACUCUCUGAAUAAUAAGGCCGAGUCAUAUCUUUUGCCUGAUCCUAUGGAGGAGGUAAAGGCUGCAUCUCUUGAACUUUUAGAAGAAUCAGACUUAGAAGACGAAACUCCUUUCUUCAUAGAAGAAGAAGUCAAACCUUCUGAACCUGAACCCUUAGAUGAGUUUGCAGAAACACCUAGACCCCCCAUAGAGCUUAAAACUUUACCACCCGGUCUUACCUAUGCUUUCCUAAACAAUAAUCCAGAGUUUCCUCUGAUCAUUAGUGAUAAACUUACUCAGGAUCAAACUCUACGAUUAAUGACCAUUCUUAAGAAACAUCACUCAGUUUUUGGCUACUCACUCCAAGAUCUUACAGGAAUCAGUCCUAUGAUUUGUACCCAUCAUAUUCCAACAGAUCCUUCUGUUACACCUUCUCGAGAGCCCCAACGUAGACUUAACAACACUAUGAGAGAGGUAGUUAACAAGGAAGUUAUAAAGUUGCUGCAUGCAAGGAUUAUAUAUCCUGUGCCGCAUAGUGAGUGGGUGAGCCCAGUUCAAGUUGUGCCUAAAAAGGGAGGCAUGACUGUUAUUAUGAAUGAAAAGAACGAGCUAAUUCCGCAACGCACCGUCACAGGAUGGCGGAUGUGCAUAGACUAUAGAAAACUAAACAAAGCCAUGAGAAAGGAUCACUUUCCUUUACCUUUUAUAGAUGAGAUGCUAGAGCGAUUGCGAACCAUUCGUUCUUCUAUUUCUUAGAUGGAUAUUCAGGGUAUCACCAAAUCCCGAUCCAUCCUGAUGAUCAAAGCAAAACCACUUUUACAUGCCCAUAUGGAACUUAUGCUUACCGAAGAAUGUCUUUUGGGUUAUGUAAUGCACCAGCUUCUUUUCAAAGAUGCAUGAUGUUUAUAUUUUCUGAUAUGAUUGAAGAGAUUAUGGAAGUUUUCAUGGAUGAUUUCUCUGUUUAUGGAAAAACUUUUGAUAGUUGUCUUGAAAACUUAGACAAGGUUUUGCAAAGAUGUGAAGAAAAGCACUUAGUCCUUAAUUGGGAAAAAUGUCAUUUUAUGGUUAGAGAAGGAAUAGUGCUAGGACACCUAGUGUCUGAAAGAGGUAUUGAGGUAGACAAAGCUAAAAUUGAAGUAAUUACACAACUACCUCCACCUGUGAACAUAAAAGGAAUUCGAAGCUUUCUUGGCCAUGCUGGUUUUUAUCGUAGAUUCAUAAAAGAUUUUUCAUUUAUUGCUAGACCACUUACUCUUUUGCUAGCCAAGGAUGCUCCUUUCGAAUUUGAUGAUGCAUGUCUAACAUCUUUUAAUUUAUUAAAGAAAGCACUCAUCUCUGCACCAAUCAUUCAACCCCCUGAUUGGUCGUUGCCUUUUGAAAUUAUGUGUGAUGCUAGUGAUUAUGCUGUGGGGGCAGUUUUGGGACAAACUAAAAAUAAGAAGCAUCAUGCAAUUGCUUACGCCAGUAAAACUUUGACAGGAGCUCAACUUAAUUAUGCAACCACUGAAAAAGAGCUUCUGGCUGUUGUCUUUGCCAUUGAUAAAUUUAGAUCUUAUUUAGUUGGAGCUAAAAUAAUUGUUUACACUGAUCAUGCUGCACUAAAAUAUUUGCUCACUAAAAAAGAUGCUAAACCUCGCUUGAUUAGAUGGAUCUUAUUACUCCAAGAAUUUGACAUAGACAUAAAAGAUAAAAAGGGAGUAGAAAAUUCUGUUGCAGAUCACUUGUCUAGAAUGUAUUUUAAGAGUCCACAGGAAACCCCCAUCAAUGAUUCACUCCGGAACGACAUGCUCUACGGGAUUAACAGGUCUGACCCCUGGUAUGCAGAUAUUGUUAAUUUUAUGGUUUCAGGGUAUGUACCACCAGGAGCAAACAAGAAGAAGCUUAUUCAAGAAAGUCGUUCACAUAUAUGGGAUGAGCCAUACCUCUUCCGUGUAUGCUCUGAUGGCUUACUUAGGAGAUGUGUGACCACUGAGGAAGGAUGGAAGAUCAUCGACAGAUGUCAUUCAUCACCAUAUGGAGGUCAUUAUGGAGCAUUCCGUACACAUUCAAAGAUCUGGCAGUGUGGAUUCUACUGGCCUACAAUGUAUGAAGACACGAAGCAAUAUAUCAGAAGAUGUGGGCCAUGUCAAAGGCACGGAAACAUAAAUACAAUGGAUGCAAUGCCACUCACCAACAACCUUCAGAUUGAGCUCUUUGAUGUCUGGGGAAUAGACUAUAUGGGUCCAUUUCCUCCAUCAAAGAAGUGUGAGUACAUCUUGGUGGCAGUAGACUACGUCUCCAAGUGGGUAGAGGCAUUACCUUGCAAGCAUGCCGACAACAUCAGUUCAAAGAGGAUGUUUGAAGAAAUUAUAUUUCCAAGAUUCGGAGUCCCCGGAGUAGUGAUAAGUGAUGGAGGAGCACACUUCAUCGAUAAACGCUUCAAGCAAUAUCUAUCAAAACAUGGAAUCCGUCACAACGUCGCUACCCCCUAUCAUGCCCAGACAAGUGGCCAAGCAGAGACUUCCAACAAACAAAUCAAGAAUAUUCUUCAGAAGACAGUAAAUGAAAUGGGAACGGCGUGGAAAGACAAGUUACCCGAUGCACUCUGGGCAUACCGAACAGCAUACAAGACCCCAAUUGGAAUGUCUCCAUACCAAUUAGUGUACGGGAAGACUUGCCACCUACCUGUUGAACUAGAGUUCAAAGCACACUGGUCCAUAAAGAGAUGGAAUAUGGACCUAGAUGUUGCUGGAGAUCAUAGAAGAAUGCAACUAUCAGAAUUGGAAGAAUGGCGAGAGAAAGCAUAUCACAAUUCAAAGAUCUACAAAGAAAGAGUCAAAAGGUGGCAUGACAAGAGAAUCAAGAAGAAGGAGUUCACACCCGGAGAUAAGGUAUUACUUUUUAAUUCCAGGGUGAGGCUCUUCGGGCAUGGAAAACUCCGGAGCAAAUGGGAAGGACCAUUCAAGGUAAUUAAUUCAUCAUCCCACGGAGCUAUCACACUUCAAAAUGACAAAGGUACGUUAUUCAAGGUAAAUGGUCAACGUCUUAAAUUAUUUUUAGAGCCCAAUAAAGAAUUAGAAGAAAUAGACGUAGUCCAUUUUUACCUUCCCAUGGAGAAUUAGAGCCCGACCUUUUUAAUCUGAUGUUUAUGGGCCAUAUAUAUUUUUCUAAAUAAUUUUGCAUCUAGAACCACGCUCGAGAAAGUGGGCCCACAGAGGGGCCAGAGAGAGGGCGGGCACCCAGAUCAGGUGGGCGGCCGCCCAGCUCCUGUUCCCCCUCAGUCCCGAUUUUCUCUGUUAUGGAAAAUACACUUAUGGUAAUCCGAAUAAUCCCUCAGAUGGAAAGUUUCGCACGCACAUCGAUGGGAGCAACCCGAACAACCCCUAGAGGCACUUUUUGACCCCUAUAUAAACAGACCCCCGACAUCAGUUUUCAAACACCAAACCACCAAGCCUUCUCUUCUUCUUCUUCAAUUAUAGCUUGAUUAGUUCCUUGCUGCUCCAAUGGCCAAGAAGUUCCAUGAUGAUUGGGAAGUCGUCCCCUUCAACCUCAACAUGGAGCCUGCGGAAGACCCCGACGCCCGUGCUCUCGUCCCGGCCAACACAGAGCGACAGCUAGAAGCCAUGCCAUUACGCCAACGCAGCUCCGCCCAAUCCUACCAUGCUCAACCAGUUCUCACCGCACCGCCACAACCCCUACUCCUCAAGGGAUCAUCAUCCAAGACGAAGACCACCAUCAAGGUGCCAACCGACACGAGGAUCCUUCCACCUAGACCCAAUGAGAGGGUCGUUGGAGUCAAGACCAACCGGAGCGGCGAGAUCAGCAGCAUACGCUACACUACGGAGGAGGAAAGACCUUAUUUCGAAGGGAUUAGAGCAGCCAAAGUCCGUUUCAUCCCUCCAAAGGCAGCCCCGAAGCACGCUCUCAAUGCUUUUGAGACACCUCCCAAGCGUCGCAAGACUAUAGUAGAUAUUGAUGAGGACGUUCGCAGGCUAGACAAAGUUAUCAUAGACCUCCAGUCCUCGAUUAAUUCCCUCACUAGGCAGCUCUCUAACCACAACACCGUUAUACUAGACCUUAGGCAUGAUCUUGCUAGUGCCAAUAAGAAGAUUAAGGAAUUAGAGCGCCGCUAAGUUAUCUAGAUUAGACCUUGAGGCAAUGCAUCUUAGUUAUCAAUCUUUAAAUUCGGUUUAGGUUUACUAUUAUUGUCAGUUUAUCAUCAGUUUGCUACUAUCGUCAGUUUGCUGAUAGUUAUUUGUAAUAAAUGCCUCAAGAUUAAUAAAGAGUAUUAUUAUUAUUAUUAUUAUUAUUAUUAUUAUUAUUAUUAUUAUUAUUAUUAUUAUUAUUAUUAUUAUUAUUAUUAUUAUUAUUAUUAUUAUUAUUAUUAUUAUUAUUAUUAUGUUUUGUGUGUCUCUAUUUUAUUUUUUGUGCAAGAAAGCAGAAACAAGUAUAGGGGGAGAUCCCUCGACAUGCCAAACACAACUUCGACUACACCACUCCACGAGUCAGGUACACACUCUGCACACUUUACUUUACACAUACACAUAUCUUGGAUUAUGCAGAAUACUGUUUCCGACAUGAUAAAUUAAAAAGAUUAAAAUAUUUCUAAUCAUGAUUAAACUCACUCUGUGAUAUUUUCUGAAACAUGCAAUUAUUGAAAAUCAUUUUAAAACCCUGUGUUACUUAAGACAGUAUGGAAUGUGAGAUGGUAGAGUAUGAGUUUCUUAUUCUUAAUAUCAUUGUUGCUUGGAGAAUUUAUUUCAAAAUCUUCAAAAUUCUAGCUACCAUCCUCAGUGUUUUAUAUGCCUAAUAAAACUGAAAAUAUUAAUUAUGAUUAUAAAAGCUAUCUACUGUAUUGAGUUUGUUCAAAAUAAGUUAGACCCUUGUUGAGAGAUUUAUCAUGCUCCUAAGAUAAAGACAUUUAUUCAGAAAGAUUCACUCUUCCGAAGUAUUAUUGCAUUAGAGGCAUGGGCUAUGCAAAAAUAAAGAUAUCUCGAGGAAAUAAAAAGGAGCAAGUGCUCGACAACCUCGCAGAAAAAAUGGACAAGUGUCCGGCAGUAGAAUUAGGGGUACCUCGGUAUCCACUUAAAAAAAAGAAAAAAAAAAGAAAAAUGAUAGCCCAUGGUCCCUCUAAUAAGCAAUAUGCCAGCAAGAGUUGACAAAGAUUUUAAUUUCCAAAUUCUUUGAUCUAAGAGUAUGACAUUCCCCUCCUCGGAUCCCGUUUUGAUCAGGCAAUAAAUACAAAGGUAAGUAUGCUUGAGAAUUUUUGCAAUUUAAAACAACCUCAGUGAGAUAUGUAAAAGAUAAUGAGUGAUCUGAGAGAACCUAUGAAGAUAAAAGGUAUGCUAACUUUCUUUUCAAAAAUAUACAAAAACUCCAAGUAACAGGAUUGAGAAGAAAGGAUCUUUACUCUUAACCAUAUACUUCCCUGACUAUAGUACACGGUGGAUUUUAACACCCUGCAGUUAUGAAAAGAAUGUUUUACCCCAGAUAUUGUUCUUAACCAUCCUUUUCUCGAGGACGAGUAAAAGCCUAAGUAUGGGGGUAUUUGUUGACGGUUCUUAAGUAUCAAUUUUAAUUAUCAAAUAAACAAGAGAAAGGACCAAUAUGCAACCAACACCUAGAAUUAGGGUUUGAUCUGACAGAAUUCCACGAGUUUUGUUGUUUAUCUGUUUCUGCAGGGGGUUAUCAGGAAAUUAGGAAGAAAGGCCCACAUGUCGGGAUUACAUAGAGAUAUCAACGCACCGCGCAAUUUUCUACCAUCUAGAAGACUCCAGAAGCCACGGGAAGAAAGCAGAGGCCGAAAGGGGCCAGGCCCAGGGCGCCCGCCCUGAGGACCUGGGCGCUCGCCCCCCUCUGGAUGUCAAUCAGGACUCUUUUCGCACAUGACGUUCCACCGACCUAAAGGAUCAAGGAUAACGUAGUACCACAUCGCCUACUGGACCAAGAAUGCACAGAGGAGGAGGACUAUAUAAGCAGACCCCCUGGCCCCUGGAGGGACGGAAGUUUAUCAUAGAGUUGAGGGGUGCCCUCGAAGGAAAACCUCUUCUCUAAAUAAAAUUUCUUUUUAAGCUUAGCAACCAAUGUAAGUAGAAAUAGAUCUUCUAGUUUCUACUAGAUUGAGAGAGAUAGAGUGGAGGUGUAGAUCGGAGGAAGCCCGGCCUCUCGGAGUCUACUCCGAGCUUGUACCUAUAGGAUCAAGUUCUCCUAACCCGAGGCUUGCUCCUAGGAUUCUUCAGUAUUUCGACUUCUAAAUUCUAGUAAGUUCUUGUUUUAUUGUUCUUUUGAUUUAUGAGUUUACUUUAAUCUCUUCGCGUAGUGUUUAGAGUAAUCAUUGCUGGCGUAAACGUGGUGUUUAGGCUAGGGUACUCAUAGAUAUUCCCUGACUAGCUAGAUCGUGGUAGUAGUGAGGAACGUGACAAUUCCGACUUACCUUUGCAGACCAUAUCUCGUUAGCAGGAAGGAUAGGGUUUAUAGGUGCGGGUUGAACAUCCUUUGUGGUGUCUAGAUUCUGUUAGCCUCCCCAAUAGAACAGUAGAUCAUCCUUACCAAGGUUAGAAGGAGAUUACGGUUGCAGUCUUCUCUAUUUAUCACUCACAUCGAGAAACAUUCUUUGUUGCCUAAAGGGUUAGUAGUAAUAGACCAGGUUAGUCAGAUGCACUCUUUCUCCUAGUGGUAAAAAUAUAAAUACGAUACUCUGGAUAACAUCCCGGGUGAAGUGCUCACCGAUAUCCAUGCGCUUGCGGAUCAAUUCCUUAUUGCGUUCCUAAAUAUGAACACUGACUCGUGGGGCCCGGCUGUCAGCCACCGAACGGGGAGAGGCGCACGGCUGUCUGGCCACUGGGCCGCUCACGGGCCGAGAGAGGGAAUAGGCCGAACGAGGGGGAGAAAAGGGGGAAGGGUGCUGGGCUGCGGGGAAGCUGGUUGGGCUGAGCGCGGGGGAGAGGAAAAGCUGGGCUGCAGCCUUGCGGCCAGCUCCCAGGGGUUUCUCCCCUUUAACCUUUUAUUUUUAUUUUCUUUUUCAAAAACAUUUUCCAACUAGAAUUCUGUGCACAAAUUAUUUCUAUCCAAAAGCAAAGCAAGCAAAACAUAAAAUAUGCUCCAGCAUGAAUGCAUAACCAUGUUUCUAAUCCUAGGAUGAAUUUUAAUCACCAUAAAAUUAUUUAUUUGCUAGAUUCAAAAUGCUCACCAAAAAUACUUAAAUAAAUCAAUUUAAUUCCUGUUAAUUGAAAUCAAAUUUUUGGGUGUUACAAACUCUACCCUCCUUUAAAAGAAUCUCGUCCUUGAGAUUGAACGGUGCUUACUCAAACAAAUACGAAUACGAUUUCCUUAGAUCAUCCUCUCUUUCCCAAGUUGCCUCUACUUCGGAAUACCGAUUCCACUACACUUUGCACAUUCUAAUUACCCGACUUUUGGUGACUCUCUCAGCUGUCUCCAAUAUUCUGAUCGGAUAAUCUUCAUAAGUGAGAUCACCUUUAACAGAAAGCUCUUCCAAUGGUAUUUGCUCCUCAGGUAUACGCAAACACUUCUUAAGUUGUGACACAUGGAACACAUCAUGCACACCAGAUAAACUUUCAGGCAACUCUAACUGAUACGCUACUUCUCCACACCUUUGCAAAAAUUUAAACGGACCGACAUACCUUGGAGCUAGCUUUCCUUUCAUAUUAAACCUCUUCACACUCCGCAUAGGUGACACUUUCAGAUAGACAUAAUCACCUUCCUCGAAAGCUAGUUCUCUCCUUCGUGUAUCUGCAUAACUUUUCUGACGAGACUGAGCAACUCUCAGAUUAUCCCGGAUAGUCUGCACUUGUUGUUCUGCAUUUCUAAGCACAUCCAUACCAAACACCUGAGUCUCCCCAGUUUGAUUCCAAAACAAAGGUGUUCUACACUUACGACCAUAUAAUGCUUCAAACGGUGCCAUUUUAAGACUUAGCUGAUAACUAUUGUUGUAGGAAAACUCUGCAUAUGGCAAACUCUUAUCCCAACUGGUUCCAUACUGCAAAGCACAAGCUCUUAACAUAUCCUCCAGUAUUUGAUUGAUCCUCUCAGUCUGUCCAUCUGUCUGUGGAUGAUAUGCUGUACUAAAAUUCAACUUUGUCCCUAAGGAAUCAUGCACUGCUUUCCAAAAAGUAGAGGUAAACUGAGUGCCUCUAUCAGAUACAAUCUUCUUAGGCACUCCAUGCAAACAAACUAUCCGCUCCAUAUACAACUCUGCUAGUCGAGCUCCUGAAUCAGUGGUUUUGACUAGCAAGAAGUGAGCAACUUUAGUCAAUUGAUCCACUAUUACCCAUAUUGAAUCAUAUCCUCUUUGUGUACGUGGUAAACCUACUAUAAAAUCCAUACCCACUUCUUCCCACUUCCAUUCUGGAAUCUUCAUUGGUUGCAACAAUCUAGCUGGCCUCUGAUGUUCAGCUUUCACUCGCUGACAAGUAUCGCACAAAGCAACAUACUCAGCUACAUCUCUUUUUAAUCCAUACCACCAAUACUUCAGUUUUAGAUCUAGAUACAUCUUGGUACUACCAGGAUGAAUGGAAUAUGCUGACUCAUGAGCCUCUCUUAGAAUCAUAUCACGAAUAGCCUUCACUUCAGGAACACAUAUCCUUUUUCCAAACCACAGUACACCAUUGUCAUCUGUUCUGAAUCCUGGUGCUUUGCCUAGUACCACAUUCUGUGCUAUCUCCUUUAGCUUCUCAUCCUCCAAUUGUCCUUUCAAUAUCUCUUCCUCUAAAGUAGGAGUGACCUCAAUUUCCAUAGCAUUCACUACAAUUCCCAAGUUCAAAUAUGCAAAUUCAGCACACAACUCCUCAGAUUCAGGUGUCGCCCGAAGCUCAUUAGCAUAUUUCUUUCUGGUAAGUGCAUCAGCCACGACGUUCACCUUUCUAGGAUGAUAAUGCACUUCCAAAUCAUAAUCCUUUAUCAGUUCCAACCAUCUUCGUUGCCUCAAGUUCAGAUCUGUCUGGGUGAAGAUAUACUUUAGACUCUUAUGAUCAGUAUAUAUGUCACUCUUAUGCCCAAUCAAAUAGUGUCUCCAAAUCUUCAAUGCAUGGACCACAGCUGCUAACUCUAGAUCAUGAGUAGGAUAAUUCAGUUCAUGUUUCCUCAACUGUCUAGAUGCAUAAGCAACAACUCUACCUUCUUGCAUAAGAACACAACCCAAACCCAGACGAGAAGCAUCACAAUAGAUAGAGAAACUCUUACUCAGAUCUGGCAAUACCAACAUAGGUGCAGUAGUCAAUCUCUUCUUAAACUCCUCAAAACUAGCUUGACACUUGUUAGACCAUACAAACUUAGCAUUCUUCUCCAACAGAGCAGUCAUAGGCUUUGCAAGUUUUGAGAACCCUUCAAUGAAUCUACGAUAGUAACCAGCUAAACCAAAAAAACUUUGAAUUUCACUUACAUGUGUAGGUGGUUUCCAAUUCAGCACAUCUUUCACCUUACUAGGAUCCACUGCAAUACCACCAUUAGAGACAAUAUGACCAAGAAAAGAAACUUCUUCCAACCAAAACUCACAUUUACUACGCUUAGCAUAUAGCUUAUGUUCUCUCAGUUUCUGUAAGACUAACCAGCAUGUUCUUCCUUGGUUUUAGAGAAUACCAGAAUAUCAUCAAUAAAGACCACCACAAACUUAUCAAGAUACUCCAUAAAUACUUUAUUCAUCAUGUACAUAAAGUAAGCUGGUGCAUUGGUCAAACCAAAAGACAUAACUGUAUACUCAUACAACCCAUACCUUGUCGUGAAAGCUGUCUUUGGUAUAUCUGAAUUCCGAAUCUUCAAUUGAUGUUAACCAGAACGCAAAUCAAUCUUAGAGAACACACAAGCACCUCUUAGCUGAUCAAACAAGUCAUCAAUCCUAGGCAAGGGAUAUUUGUUCUUGAUAGUGACCUCAUUAAGUGACCGAUAAUCAACACACAUCCUCUGAUUACCAUCCUUCUUAUCAACAGAGAUAACUGGUGCACCCCAUGGUGAUGAACUAGGACGAAUGAACCCUUUAUCUUGCAAUUCCUUAAUUUGUUUCUUAAGUUCUUCUAGUUCAUUAACCCCCAUUAUAUAUGGUCUUUUAGCUAUGAGUGCAGUACCAGGUAGUAAUUCAAUAAUAAAUUCAAUGUCUCGGUCAGGUGGCAUACCUGGCAAUUCAUCUGGAAAGACAUCCGGAAACUCAUCCACUACUAGACUCUGAGGAUCAACAUCAUCGUUCAGUUGGUUCACUUUAGCUGUGAGUGGUGCUUGCACUGUUACAUCAACACUGAUUCGUUCUCCCUUUGGUGUUGUCAGAGCCACUACUCUCUCUUUGCACUUAAUAUCUAUCUCAUAUUGUUUCAUCCAAUCCAAACCCAAGAUCACAUCUAUGCCUGAAGUUCUCAUAACCAUGGGACUGAUAGGAAAAUCUACCCCCUUAAAGAAAGACUCGCUGAGGGGCAACAAUAAGAAACUGGUAUAGUCCGACCUGGUGAAUUUACUAGCAUAGAGGUUUUCAUGGCAACUACUAGAAUUCUAUGAACUCUAACAAAUGCUUGUGAAAUGAAUGUAUGCGAAGCUCCAGAAUCAAAUAAAACUAUAGCAGGGAUAGAGUUGAUGGUGAACGUACCCAUCAUAAUCUCUGGUCCCUCCUGAACUGUCUCUGUAGCCACAUUAUUCACUAUUGCCGCAUAAGCAGUAGACUUCUGGUUGCUGUUCGGCUUGUUGAGCUUCUCCAGGCAAUCAUAUGACAUAUGUCCCUCCUACCCACAAUGGAAACACCUUAUAGGAGUCUUAGAAGCACUUCUUUUCAUAGAGGUGGCAUUUGAGUUCCCUGAGCGGGGUGUCUGCUGUCCAUUCUACUGUUGGUUAUGAUUACGCUGCUGGAAUGGAGGACGCUGAUUCCCACCUUGUGAUUGAUUCCGGAAACGCUGAGGUUGUUGGUUGCGGUUCAACUGGCUAACUAGUCCCUGGAACCUUUGUUGAUGGCCUUGUUGAGAACUGAAACGCUGACGGUUGUUGCUCCCAGAACCUUGUGCCAGCAUCCUUCUCUUCUUAUCCUACCCCUUGCGCAUGUUGUCCAACACUAUAGCCCGAUUCACCAGAGCUUGGAAGGUAGGAUAAGAGUUUCCUGCCAGUUGCAACCUGAGUUCAUAGUAUAGGCCUUUCAUGAACAAGCGCUACUUAUCAGCAUCUUCUCUGACUUCAUUUGGAGCAUAGCGGGCCAACUGUUCAAAUGUGUCAUGAUAUUCUACCACAGUCAUGGAGCCCAUCCUGAGAGAUCUGAAUUCUUCUUGCUUGAGCUCCAUCAUUCCCUCAUUUAUAUGCUGAGCUCUGAAGUCUCUACAAAAUUCCAGCCAUGUGACAGGAGGAGCAUUGUUGGGACGAGUAGCUUGAUAUGACUCCCACCAUAUCUGAGCUGCCCCCUGAAGCUGUCCAGAAGUAUACAACACCUUCUCCAAGUCAUUGCACUAUGCUAUGUUCAGUUGCCUCUCCACAGCACGUAACCAAUCAUCUGCCUCUAUAGGAUCAGCUGAGUGUGUAAAUACCUGAGGUCUUCCCUUCAUAAACUCCCCACGCUUAUCUCUCACAUGAACAGGUGGCGGUGGUGGUGGAGGUUGCUGCUGUAGGUGCUGCAUGAAAACGUGCAUCAUCUCAUUCUGAGUUUGCAUGAGCUCUUCCACAGUAAUUGGAUCAUUGGCACCCAUGCCACGGCCUCUGCUUCUGCCUCUUCCUCGUGCUGCCAUCUACAUUCCGAGGUAUAUAAACAUAUCUCAGUAAUAUCCAACAUGAUAAAUACAAGAGAUCGUUGAAUCUGAAUUUUUCUGGACGACAUCCAACAUUAGCAGUCCAGAAAGUCAGUCAUAUCUCAAGUUCCAGAAUUCAAAAUGAUACAUUCUGUACACCGUUGAAAAGAUAAAGAAAUUAUCUACAACUUUCAUUUAGACCAUAUUAACAGAUUCCAUCAUUAAAUUAACCAAAACUGGGCACAACCGAAACUGUUCCAGAAUUCCAGACUGCACAGAACCUCAAAUUUAAACUGCCAUAACUCACGGCUCAUAACAGAUAAUAAUGUCAUUCUUGAGGCAUUGGAAAGAUAUGAAAGUCUACUUGUUCCCAGAAAAAUAUGAUGAACUUUUCACAAACAGAAUUUGAGAUGUACUAGAUUUGUUACAGACUGCUCCAGAAAACAGCAAAAGAUAGAAACAGAAUUUUAACCAAACCCAACUAUUUAGUUCAUUAAUCCUUAUGCCUUAAGCCUAUAACUAAAUGAAAUUGUAGAGAAAAUCCACUAGAUGAUUACACUCAUUACAAAGAUCUAAAUCAAGCAUAAGCAUAAUAACAACCAAACCAAGCAUCAAAAGUUCACACUUCAAGCAUUGACUUAACUUGCGGUACUAUCGUUCUCUUCUUGUUAAGGGUAAAGAUCCUAUAACUCCUAUUUCAAAGACGCUAGAAGGUGGUGAGAAAAAUUUCUAAUAGCAUAUCAAGCAAGGAGUGAGGAUGAGAACAAGUCUUUAAAAUAAGCAUCAAGGUGAAGAUGAAUAGCAAUGAAAAGGAUAUAGUAUAGGAGAAAAUAUCAAGGUUUAUUGAACAAGGAUUUUAUAGCAAUUUUAAAACCUUAAGACGGCCAAUUUCUAACUAGGCUUACGUCCGAUAGUCAACAAAGCUCUGAUACCAAUCUAUCACACCCAUAUUUUAAGAACAAAAUAGGAUGCAUAAAAGACUCAUAUGUGCCCCAGAAACAGUCGCACACAUAAGUAGACAAAUCUCAAAUGUACCAUUGCAGUGUUUAUUACAUAGCAGAACAAUAAUAAAUCACAUAGUCUUAUACAAGAAUGAUAAUAAGAUUAAACAGUGCCCUCGAUGGAAGCACCACACAGAGACACUGUUGACUGGUUGACUCCAAGCCUAAUACUCAUAACGGUAGUCCUCAUUCCAAUCAUCAUCAUUAGCAUAACCUGGGAUGUUGGGAAAUUGCAAGAGUGAGCACAUAUCGUACUCAACAAGUAUAACCAGGGGUUCAUGAGGCUCAAAUAGCUGACACUGGUUUGACUGCAUUUAGCUUUUAUAUGUAGAUAGCAUGUUUAUAUUUAGAUAGCCAAUAUCAAGGUAGCAUAGUAAAUCUCACAACCACAUGAUCAAUGUAUACAAGAAUAAAGAAUAACACAUAUAAACAACAUAAUAAAUCAUCAUUUAUCAUCAUUAAUCAUAUUCAUCAGUGUCCAUCUAUUCCGUCAGUUUUCCGGGCCGCCUGUAUCCGUGGGCACGACUAGUAUACUAGAUUUAACACUCUGCAAAGGUUGUACAUCUUUACCCAUGAGUCAUGAUUUACCCUUUCGCCCGAGGUAGCUAAUCUCUUAACCCCCUUCAUAGGGAUGUCGGCAGGGAUCACUAUGAAGCCUUUCAAAAGUUCGUCUAACAUGUUAGGGCCGCAAGGUUUCCUUCGCGCGCAGAUAUAGGUACCCCCCUUCCAAAUGGCACAAUGACGCGUAGCCUAUACACAUAAGCACAGGGGCUCGCACUAUACCCGAAACGGUUCACACUACUACAGAAUGAGGCAUUGGUCGAUGCCCAAAAUGGCCAAAAACCUCGGCCUUUUUGCGGCCCGGGGUUAAAGGCCCCUUUAACACCGGUUCGUAACACGAACCGGUGCUAAAGGGUCCUACCCAACGGCUACUGACGGGUGCUGUCAGGGCAGGGACCCUUGAGCACCGGUUCGUGUUACCAACCGGUGCUAAAGGGUCCCCUUUAGCACCGGCCAGUGCCACGGGCCGAGGCAAAGCCUUUAGCACCGGUUUCAAACACAAACCGGUGCUAAAGGGCGACCCUUUAGCACCGUUUUUUUCCCUCAACCGGUUCUAAAGCUCUGUUUUAUAUGCCUGCCUUCUCCUCCCCUCUGCCCAUUUGAAACCGAGAGCACCAUUGUUGUUCUUGGAGCUUCUUCUUCCUUGUUCUUCAUUUGUUCUUCAUCUCUGACGCCCAUCGUUGAUCUUCUUCGACUCCGUCAUCGUUUCUUCGUGCUUGGAGGUGACUAACUUUUGUCUUUCUUGUCUUUUUCAUGUUGUUUUUGGCUUGUGAUGUUCCCAUUAUUUUUAGCUCAAAUCCACUUUGUUAUUUUGAAUCAUUCAUAUGAAUUAGUAUCCAUAUAUAUAUAUCAUAUUUCAUGGUUGACCUAGUAUUAAUGUAGUUUGCAAGAAUGAAUUAUAGUAUCUUUUAUGAUCUUAGAAAGUAGGAUAGUUCAAAUUAAUUGGUUUGUUAAUAUCACUUGAUUUAUUUUUAUUACUACAUAAUGUCCAUUGUAUAAUUUAGAAGAUUUGUUGAAGUAACUAGACAAAUAAAGGAUAUUAUUAGGUUCUUCUUUAAUCAUACAUGUUUACUAGUAAAUGUGAAAUUUAUAAUUGUUUAAAAAUUGAGUAUGGAUAGUAGAUGGCAACCGUGACCGGGUCUUCGGUCUCUCAACGGGUUCAAAUGCGAUACCGGCCGGAACUCCCUCUCAUUACUUGUGGCAAGUGUGGGCAGAAGAUUGUGAUGGAGUACAAAGUGUCGAAAGAGGGAGUAAAUAAGGGUCGUAUAUUCUACAAGUGUCCAGAUCGUAAUGUGAGUUAUUUCCAGACAUUUGCUUAUAUAUGUGCAUAUUUUUUUAAAUGAUAUUAAUUAAACUUUUGAUUCUCUCUUUUAAUUUCAGUGGGACGGUACCGGCGGAUGUACGGGUUGGUACUGGGAGGAAGAAUACAUUGAACACAUUAAGAAAUCUUUUGCAUAGGUGGUUGAGGCUGAAGGUGGUGAGGCAGUGAGCCGACGAAAGGAGUUCAAUGAUUUUGAUCAAGCGAAUGAUCUAUCUAAUAGUUGGGAUCGGACGCGAAAUAAUUAUGUUGCUUAAGUGCAUUUUAGUUUUGGUUUUUUUAGUGCUAGUUGCGAUUGUAUUUGUUGUAGCCAAGCUUUCCUGAAUUAAUCAACUAUGUAUCUUAGACAUGUUGUGCAAUAAGAUGAGAAACUAUAUGUGUGCAUGGUUUUCAUAAUAUAUAUGUUAUAUUUAAUGCAGAUGGUAACACGUAAUUGGAUGUAUAAUGCCGAUCGGUGCUCCGAAGAGUUCAUUAAUGGCGUGCACUAUUUCUUAAGUGUGACUGAGACAAAUAAGAGGGACGGUUUCAUGUGCUGUCCAUGUGCCGUGUGCAAGAAUUUGACGGAAUAUUCUAACUCAAGAACUCUUCAUUCACACUUAUUAAAGUCUGGUUUCGUACCAAACUAUAUUUGUUGGACCAAACAUGGAGAAAGCGGGAUUAUAAUGGAUGAAGGUGAAGAAGAAGAAGAAGAAUUGGACCAUGCCAAUAUUAUUGCUCAGUACGGUGGCUUCAAUGAUGUUGCAAUGGGGGGAGAUAAUGAAGAAGAGGUAGCGGCAGAAGAUGAUCGGGGCGAUGAUGCUUUUGGUGAUGCCAUCCGUGAUGCACAAAGAGAAUGUGAAAGUGAUAAAGAGAAAGCCAAGUUCGAGCGCAUGCUAGAGGACCACAGGAAAUCGCUAUAUCCCACCGCUGAAGAGGGGCAAAAAAAGCUGGGUACCACACUAGAAUUACUGCGAUGGAAGGCAAACAAUGGUACAUCUGACAAGGCAUUUGGGCAGUUAUUGAAGAUCAUAAAAAAGAUGCUUCCAAAAGGCAACGAAUUGCCCACCACUACGUAUGAAGCAAAACAGGUUGUCUGCCCUUUGGGAUUAGAAAUCCAGAAGAUACACGCAUGUUCUAAUGACUGCAUCCUCUACCGUGGGGAGGAAUACAAGAAUUUGGAUGUAUGUCCAGUAUGUAAAGCAUCACGGUAUAAGAUUAGACGAGAUGAUCCUGGCGAUGUUGAGGGUGAAGAACGUCAUAGGAAGAAAAUUCCUGCCAAGGUUAUGUGGUAUGCUCCUAUAAUACCACGAUUAAAACGUCUGUUCAGAAAUAAGGACAAUGCAAAGUUGUUGCGGUGGCAUAAAGAAGACCGUAAGAUAGACAAUAUGCUGAGACACCCUGCCGAUGGAUCCCAGUGGAGAGCGAUAGACAGAGAAUUCCUAGAUUUUGCAGAUGAUGCUAGAAACUUGUGGUUCGCCUUAAGUACAGAUGGUAUGAAUCCUUUCGAUGAGCAGAGCAGUAGUCACAACACUUGGCCAGUUACUCUAUGUAUCUACAACCUUUCUCCAUGGCUAUGCAUGAAGCAGAAGUUUAUUAUGAUGUCGGUGCUUAUCCAAGGACCGAAGCAACCUGGCAAUGACAUAGAUGUCUACCUAAGGCCAUUAGUUGAGGAACUUCAACUUUUAUGGAGCAAACCAGGAGUUCGCGUGUGGGAUGAGUACAAACAAGAGCACUUUGACCUGCGAGCAUUGCUGUUUGUAACAAUCAAUGAUUGGCCAGCUCUGAGUAAUCUUUCAGGCCAGUCAAACAAGGGAUAUAAUGCAUGCACACAUUGUUAUGAAGACCUUGACUGUGUAUUUUUGAAAAAAUAUCGAAAGGUCGUGUACCUUGGCCACCGUCGGUUUCUUCCUGUGAACCACCCAGUACGAAAGAAAGGCAAGCAUUUUAAAGGCAAGGCAGACCACCGGACCAAACCUCUCAAUCGAACCGGGGAUGAUGUACUCGAAAUGGUCAAGGAUAUAAAAGUGGUAUUUGGAAAGGGACGAGGCAGCGAACCUAUUGCCAAGGAUGCUAAGGGACACGUACCCAUGUGGAAGAAGAAAUCCAUAUUUUGGGAGCUACCUUACUAGAAUGUCCUGGAGGUCCGCAACGCCCGACGUGAUGCAUCUGACAAAGAAUCUUUGUGUGAACUUGCUCGGAUUCAUGGGUGUCUACGGGAAGUCUAAGGAUUCACUUGAAGCACGACAAGACUUGCAGCGCAUGAAAGAACGAGACAACCUGCAUCUAGAAAAGACAGAUGAUGGACGUCAUUACUUAAGCCCUGCUAGCUACACUCUGAGCAAAGAAGAGAAGGAAAGCAUGUUUGAAUGUCUUAGUAGCAUCAAGGUCCCAUCUGGAUUCUCCUCCAAAAUCAAGGGAAUAAUUAAUGUGCCAGAGAAGAAAUUCCUGAACUUGAAGUCCCAUGACUGUCACGUUCUAAUGACGCAAUUGCUGCCAGUGGUUUUAAGAGGAAUUUUACCUCCACACGUACGUCUGGCCACCGUAAAGCUAUGUGCAUUCCUCAAUGCAAUUUCUCAGAAGGCAAUCAAUCCAGAGCAACUAGCUACUCUGCAAAAUGGUGUCGUUCAAUGUCUCGUCAGCUUUGAGUUGGUGUUCCCUCCAUCCUUCUUCGAUAUCAUGACACACCUCCUAGUUCAUCUGAUAAAAGAGAUUCGUAUUCUCGGUCCUAUGUUCCUACACAACAUGUUCCCCUUCGAGAGAUUCAUGGGUGUCCUAAAGAAAUAUGUGUAUAGUCGUUCCCGGCCAGAAGGAAGCAUUGCCAAGGGCUACGGAACAGAGGAGGUCAUAGAGUUCUGUGUUGACUUUAUUCCAGACCAUGACCCAAUUGGCAUUCCUGAAUCUUGACACGAGGGCAGACUCAGAGGAAAGGGAACACUUGGGAAGAAAACAUAUAUUGGUAGGGAGACGAUUACUUCAAUAAAGCACACUACACAGUUCUCCAGAACUCCUCAUUGGUGGAACCAUAUGUUGAGGUACACAAAGAUUUCCUACGGUCCCAGUGGCCCGGGAAGAAUGAAGCUUGGAUAAUGCGUCAGCACAUGGAAACUUUUGGCGAUUGGUUGCGCAAAAAAUGUCAAGGUGAUGAAAACAUUGAUGAGCAGCUUUAUUUGUUGGCCAGGCAACCAUGAUGGCAUGUCCUCACGUACAAAGGGUACGAGAUAAAUGGUAACACAUUUUACACAGUUGGCCAAGAUAAAAGGAGCACCAACCAAAAUAGUGGUGUACGCGUGGAUGCCACGGAUCCAAAUGGGAACAGACAAACAUAUUAUGGACGCAUAGAAGACAUAUGGGAACUAGUCUAUGCAGCUAAUUUUAAAGUUUCUUUGUUCCGGUGCCAAUGGGUGAAGCCAAGAAGAAUCUAGGUCGGGAGCAGGGGUUGGUGGAUGGUUAGUCCAAGACGCGGAACAACAGAGUUUUCUAGCGUAUUAUUAUACCGUCGUCGCCUUUGAAUUCUUUAUGUGUACGUACAAUUACAGCUCGAAUUACUUCGGAUCUUUCUAGAGGCAUUUGGGGCACUGCGCGGAGUUGAGUUCGGAAGAAUCCUAGUUUCUUUUUUUUAUGGAACACGCGCUUGCUAACUGACUAUUUUCAAGCCCGUCUCCAGAGGAUCCUCCUCGAGUUCUACCGGGCCCCGGUGAACGGCGGUCGCACGAAAGGCCUAGGCCUUUGAUUAGGACAUUGCACAAUGAUCCAAACACUUUGUCGCAUCUCUUCGAUACGAAUACAGUAACGAUCAUAGCGAUCCCCUCUGGUACCCCUGUGAAGCUUAACAGACAAAGAAAACGAUAGAGACUUCCGGGUAUAGGGUGACGAGCCUGACGGAGCAAUGCCGCGUGGAGGUGGAAGGCCUACGGGUCGUCAACUUCUUUUCUCGGAGAAGAAACAAUGACAGUGGAAACGGCGAACAAUUGCUGUAAUAUAUAGUAUAGAUACCGGAGAAACAUGCUGCUCUCCUCUUCUAUUCCAUUUUAUGUUUCUACAUAUCUUUCGAGAAGGGGGAGGUCCGAGCCAUAACGGAUUGAUGUGACCGUAACGGCGACUUGGAUAGCCGUAACACUCUCGGUAUGGAGGCGUCCCGAAGGGGACCGGCAGUAAGACUGCUUAUGCCCCGAAAGGCUGAGCCGAAUCAAAAAAAGCCUGGAAUUCCACCAACAGGAAUCUUCCUUCAAGUCCUCCAUACGUCAGUUUCUAUUCCAGCCCAGCAACGAAGGUCGGUCUGCAACAUUCCCUGGUACCCAUUCCGCUUACAGCUAGAAUCUCUAUCUCUGAUCCUGCCCUCCUUCCUAUCUGUCAUUUACAGAAGGUGCGAACCUGGUCUAGCAUCUCUCGGGUUUUUUUUCUCUCCUAUUUUUUUUUCUGUCAUAUAUUUUUCUCCUAUUUUUCAUUUUUUAUUUUCAAAAUAGGAAGUUCGAGAUAGAAUUUGGUCCAGUUGCUUCCCGCGGGUUUUCAUAACCCUGCUGCGCAAAAAUGGGGGUUAUUAUAACAAUAUAAAAUGAAGAUAAUGUUUGGAGUUUAAUAAGCUCUUUGCAAAAGAAUAGUUCCUGCUAGUGAAGUACCUAAAUAGUGCAAUCUCUUGCAUCGAGAAUCAUCCUACUUCUUCACUUAAUGCUUGCUUUCCGUCUUGCCUUUGCUGGGCCUACGAUAGGCUGUACUCCAAUACGAAAUAAGAUUUCUGGAGGCGCCUCACCACAAAUGCCUUUCCGUGACCCAAGCUACUUUACAAGCCUAUUUGUAAAAAACCUAGAAACUACUUCUCGUGAUGUUGUGGUAGAGCUUUUAUUUUAGCUCGAAACAUGCCGUAGUUCCUCGCUGGGACAGGAAUAAGUCGUCAAGUAGGCAUAUGAAUGGGAAAGGCUUUUCUUGUGGAUUCCUCCAACUCCAUGAAUGAAGGGGGGAGUAUGAGGAGGCUCUUUCAUCAACUGAUGUAAAGAUCAGUUAAUUCGCCAUAGUUUUUCUUUAGGGAAAGAUAAUAAGAUGGCUCCCUGUGCUCUGGCGCUAAUUCGUAGUGCUCUUCAGGUCCGAUACACAGAUCUGUCUUUUUCUCGAAAGACCUCCUUGUAUUUUCUAAUGUUCCGAAUCUAGCUUAUUCAACGUGGAUCCGACAAGAUCUGCUCCUCUUAGGCUCUACCACUGAGCUACUGAGGAACAAGGGGAGAUUCGACCUCCUAGAGUUCAACUCCCGCUCUCAACCCGUGAACAAUAUGAGUCCGAAGCUUCUUUCGUAACUCCUGAAAUUUGGUUUUUCAAGUAGUAUAGUUUUCUCAAGAAACCGGAAAAAGAUAAGUGUAGAUAAGUAAGGAGGGGCCCUUAGUGAGUGUGUAUAGGUUUCUGAGUCAGAAGAUUCUCAGGAUGGAGUUCCCCCGACUAGAAGGAUCCAGGGACAACGGCUAUUUCCUCCUAAAAUAUUGGCAGUAGCCGAAACGACUGGAAACCCAGGUAGCGGUCCGAAAAGGGCAAAAGUGGGAAGCGGAGACCGUAAAAAGGGGGAAAGGGCUGUUCCCUAUUAUUUCAAUCUUCCUCAACAGCUUCUAAUGAUUAACUUGCAAAACCCAUUCUUGCAAAGAGCCCUUUUUCCAAUCCGGACAAAAUCGCGGGUGUCCAGUUGGCAUGGGUCUGGGUUCGGCUCAUCAACUCGAACGGUCAAUGCUGGCCUGAUACCAGCAUCGUUAUACGUCACAAGUUGGGGUUGUUGGGGAGUAGGGCCGGGGGAGAAGUUCUAGAUACUUUUCCUUACAUUGUAUCCGACAUCCUUUCCAUUCUUUUGGAGAGAACUCGACUACUAGAAGGCACUAGACUCUGGGCUCCUCGUUCAUCGGGAAAUGGGCCUGAAACCGCGCACUCCCAGAAUGGCGCUUCAAAUAUCACCAAAGAGAGAGGGUGCUUGCACCUGGCACCUCGGUCUUCAGUUGAGAAAAGUGCGAGUCAUAGAAAGUUUGAAAUCCAAAUCAAGAUAAAACGCGAAUAUGGGAGCCCGGAGGAAGAUUCUAUCUUAAUAAAUGAGGGUUUUAUUGAGCAUCGAGGAACAAAAGAAUUUAGUCUAAAAUACCAAAAAGAAGUAGAUCGGUUUUUUUUCAUUCUUCAAGAACUGCAUCCGCUCUCAACCCGUGAACAAUAUGAGUCCGAAGCUUCUUUCGUAACUCCCGUUCCCUUGGCAAGGAAGUUCUGAUCAUUGCAUUGGCAUUCCAUGUUUGCAGGCCACAUCCCAAAGCAGCGAAGAACAAAUAGAAUUUGCUACAAAAGCCGGCUAAGGACAGACAAGAGAAGAAGUCAGAAGGGCAUAACCUGGAGUCCGUCUUUUCUAGGUGCGCAUCUCUAUCUACUAAAAGUAGCCCAUGUCUUUGAAAUCCAACGAUCGUAAUGCCUAUAAAAAUGGAAAAUGAAAGAGCCAAAGUUUUUACUAGAAGUGGAAGAGUUACACAAAGUUCGCGAAAUGAUCACAAGGGUUUAUGCACUAAGAACAGGCAAAUAUGCCUGGGUAAUUCCUCUUCUCCCACUUCCAGUUAUUAUGUCAAUGGGAUUUGGACUUUUUCUUAUUCCCACAGCAACAAAAAAUCUUCGAUCGGUUUCGGGUCAAAUAGGAAGAACGUAAAUCUUCCACCUCUGGAAAGCGCCUACACCUAAUGGCUUAAGCCGCUGUUCCCAUUUCCUCGCUGACCCAUCAUGCGAAAGGUACGCCGUUAGAGUGCGUGCGCCCGCGCUCCGCUCCUUCGACUGAUUGUUCGCAUCGGAUCUCAGGUUCUCUAUUGCACUCCCCGAUUGGGGUUCUUUUCACCUUUCCCUCACGGAAUAGAAAGAUAGAUCCAUCCAUCUAUCCAGAUAUCUAAAAAAGAAUCGAUUUUGAUUUCAUGAAACCUUUGAUUCAAAGAACUGCGCUUAGCCCCCCCGCUCAUGAAACGGCUCUGCUGCAAUGGAUGGCAGAGGGUCCGUAGUACACGAAGCACUGGAGUGAUCCAGUAGCUGGGAAGGGGCCUAGAAGUGCCCCUUUGAGUUUGAUCAAAAAAACAAAAAUGCAAGAAAAAUUGCAAUCCCUACCACGUAAUAGUGCACCUACACGCCUUCAUCGACGCUGUUUUUUAACCGGCGAAUAUCUGUAUAUAAGAAACUUCUAUUCCAAUCCACAAUCGGUCCAACAAGUCAACUGUCGUCAAUUAGAUCAAUCAGGAAUAAGCAAUAUGUCGUACCCUAUCUGUCAUAUUUGCUUUUCGGUAAAGUUGAACCGGGACCUAUUCUCAUAAUAGGCAGCAAGCAAAGCUAAAUAGGAAAGGGGGCGACGUUGCCUUUUUCGUCAAAAUAAAAAAGGGUGGAAUGUGGAGCAAUUCUUCCAUGUUUCCGCAGUAGCAUAUUGUUCCAUGGAGCUAGGGUCCAAAAUAGGAAUCAACAAGUGUUUCCACGACUCUACCGCCCGGCCAAUCCUGUUCCACUGAAUCCCCUGAGCCGGAGGUCACUUUUCCCGAUCCAUCCCGAAGGUUUUUUUCCCUCUCUCGCCCCAUCAUCGUACCCAGUCCUGCUAUCGGCUCAGCCCAAUAGCAGCUGGGCUAGGUACGAUGAGCGGGCGACGAAAGUCAUGAAAAUUGGUAAGUUGGUCAAUGGAAUCCAGUCGAAAGAUCAAGAAAGCAAAGCAUAAGAAGACUCUGAUCCUCUUCUACGAAUCUACAACUCUCUUUACUGAGCGAGACUUCAUCUAUAUCCCUAAAAGUGGAUUUGGAUUCCCAUUUUUUCUUUGAAUGACAUUGAAAAGGGGGGUCCCUCCUCCCCCUGCUAGCUAGAUAUGGUGGGGUGCUUUCGCAACGAAUCUCUUGACCUAAAAAAAGUGUCCUUUCUCGAUACAUAACAUUGUAUAAGUCAACCCAAGUCGCUUCUUCAUCUCCGGGAAUCUGGUAAGGUACUUUUGGAACACUAAUGGGCAUAUUAGAUUAAUAUUAUUAAAUUUAAGUAAAAAAACUACACUUUAAUAUGGAAACAUAAGAAUCUGCAGAAGCAUCUAAUAGCGAUUCUUAGAAUCCACAGCAAAGAACAGAACACCUCGUUCCCAUUUCUCUUUUUGUACGGAAUGAACCAAUUCUCGUUCUACAACAAGAAGAAGAUCCAUGAACUGGAACGGAUGGAAGAUAGCACUAGAAGUAAAAGAAAUAUUGAAAGGUGAUUUUACUAGUCAAGCAAGUAUCGGACAACUGCGAGCGAAAGCAAGAGAUGUUUCUCGAGCUACAAUGAACAAUUCCAUUCAAAGGAAUGUUCUAGAGGGGGCCCUUUUCCGCAAAUUUUGUUGAAAAUUAGUCGUUAUUUGAACGAAACCGGGAGGCCUCUGCCGUCUUACAACGCUCACCGGGAUUUCUGAGCAGAAGUACUCGGGCCCCGACUCGAUCCUGGGGGAAAAGUGAUAUCCAGCACGGGUCCAAUAAUUUGAUCAAUAUGCCCUACGCUUUUUUCUUCAAUUGUGGAAACCCCGGGACGCGAAGUAGUAGGGCAUCUUUCGGCGGAGGAAAGGAGGCGACUAGUCGCUUCUGGCGAAGCUGCGAGUUCAUGAGCAAGUGAAUGAACGAGCUGCGAGUGAAGUGCUCCUCAGCAAAUCUAAUCCCAAUACGAAUUCCAGAAUAAUGCUAUAAUGGAGCCAUCCUUUCCAAAUGAAUCUGUAUCCUCUGUUUCGAUGAAAGCUAUCCCCGGGGACAGAAUUUUUAUGACAGUUUGGCCAAUCUUGAGAUUGUUCUACAGCGUUGUCUUGAAGCUGAUUUGGUACUCAAUUGGGAGAAGUGUCAUUUCCUGGUUCAAGAGGGUAUUGUCCUCGGUCAUUUGGUUUCCUUGCGAGGAAUUGAGAUUGAUAAAGCCAAAGUUGAGGAUCGCUUGGUCCUGCCCCAUUUCCUUGAAUGAAGAAAUUGAGGUUCCAUACCAUCUCCUUCCCCACUCAAAAGGUAUGCGCCGCUACAACGGAUGUUCCCGACUCACACCGGAUAUGGACCGAACUAUCUCACGACGUUCUGAACCCAGCUCACGUACCGCAUUAAUGGGCGACUCAAAAUCUCGUGCUAAAGAGCGUGGAGGUUCGCCCCACUACUUACUUAAUGAAUCUCAUGGGCCUUGUCCUGGCUUCAAAGAAAGACCUUUCGAAAUGUCAAUUUACGUUUUCAAAACUACAGCUAUCUUGCCUAGAGUCCCCUCUGUCUUGCUAAACACAAAUCCUUCUUUUCUUGUAUAGACGAAAAAAAGAACAAAGUAGGUUUCGACCCAUUAAAGGAGUCAAUGGCCUUCCAACGGGCCAGGAAAUUGGUCACAAUCAUAAAAGACCUGAACCGGAGGUGCAUACAAUUGACAGGGUAGCUCGGAGGUCAGAUGAGUCCCCAUAAAGAUAGAUUAGUACUGGAAGGUUCAGAUGAAGGAAUGGGGUAGCGAGGGGUGCUAGGUCUUUCUUCGCAAGCGUUGCGGGCUUCUCUCUCUGGUCUCACUUCGAGUCAUUGGAAGCCUGCAGGGUCAAAUUUGGAGUAUUUUCAGUUAGAAUCUAGAGUCAGCCUAUUCAGUUCUUAGCCCUUAAGGGUAAGGCAGGGGGAGAACUUGUCGAUUGGUCAAGCGAUUCCAGAUUCUUCUUCAUUUGCAGUAGAGAAAUAGCUGCCCAAAGGGGAUCAUUGAGCCGGUUACCGGUGGCUAAGAGCCUUUCCUUUCCAUUUUAUCGACCUUUCCUUUGGAUUUAUUAUCAUAGGUAGUGUUCGAGAUCGCCUCUAUGCGGUGAACGCUCAUCCAAAUGUUGGUGUGUUGCUAUCGGAUCGAAAUAGAGGUCAGGGUUUGGCAAAAAUGCUGCCCUUCGAGAAGUCCCCCACCCUCUUUUUGUAAUCUCUGCAGCUUCCUAGAGGCUUUUUGCUUUUUAUUAUUGAAAAUAUAGCAGAUCUGAAGUCUUUUUUAUUAUUUUUUUUCUUCGUUUUUUACUCGUUUUUAGCACCUAUAACGGAGCCAUCAAUUGGUAGAGGUAGAAACUAUCAAUUUUUUUUUGAAAUCGUUCGGACCUCUGCUUAGUUUCAUCCAAGCUUCAUCCUAGUCAUGGCCACCUUGUAAAUAUGUGUUCGUAUCCGGGCAACAUCACAGACAGUGAAAAUCUUAGUCACUAGGCAAGAAUGGAAAGAGCUUCUUUACCUCAACAGAAAAGUAGCUUACCCAAAGCUAAUCCUCAGUUUCAACCAGUACAAAAGCAAAGCUUGUCCCAGCCUCAUUAGACUGAAAAGAAUUACCCCUGCCUCUGUUGGGUCCGGAACGGCAGCCCCUGCUGGAGUGAAACCUUCCACCAUUUUCGGAAAAAGAGGGGUCCCAAAUGAAAUUCUAGAGAAAUCCUUGUUAUUCGCGGAAAUAGGAUCGGAACAAGAAGGCUUCCAGGAAUUGGGAAUGACCGGAGGUGGGGUAACAGUCGACAAGGAGUAUGGGAUGACAACCGUGGACCUUAACAAUAGUGGGUUCAAAGACAAACCAUUCGUCCUUGCUGCAGACGUGAGUCUGGUGUUCUAUGUCAAAGAUAUGUCUACGAAACCAAAGAGAGGAAAAAAUGAUGACCACUCAAUCAUCAAUGAGCCAAAGCGCCACAUUGUCCUUUCUCGGAAAAGAAACAUUGUCGGAAUUGAGGACAAGUCAGACAUGUCAGGCGAUUACGAAAGGGAUGAUCGAAUUCCGCCCUUCAUAGUCAACAAAGACCCAAGCAUUCUGUUAAACAAUGAGGAUACUCCAUGGUUACGGCAGGAUCAUAACCAAGGGUCAUACGUCAAGAAGAAGUUCACUGUUGUGUCGGCUUAACAUAAAGUCAUGUUUAAUAGUAUGUGUUGUAAGAAACUUUGUAUGAAACUAUAUUUGAGAAUUGUGAAUUUUGAUGAGUGUAACAAACUUUGUAUUCAUGACUUUUCCAUUUGGGACCAUCUAGAGUUCGGUCAAAGAGUGUUUUUGUAAAAACCAUUGCUUUGACUUCGGUCAAACUUGGUCAAAUGACAAACUAAAUUACUUAAAAUGAAAAAAAUUUGAAUACCAAGUUGUUAGAUAUCAUCAAGAUCUAAACCUUUUAUAUACACAACUUUUCCAUUUGAGAAAGUUUAAGUUUACAAUACCCACCAAUUCUUGAAUCUCACACAAACUAUAUGAAACUAUAUGUGUCAAUUGUGGAUUUUCAACUACACCUUCCUAAAACUUUGUCAAAUGCAAAAAUGGUCUAUAUAUUAAAUGUACAUUUUGAUGAGUGGAACAAUAAUGGCAUUCAUGAUUUUUCCAUUCGAGGCCAUCUAGGGUUCCAAAACAGCUGCGUGGCUAUGAAUUCUCUGAAAAUUCAAAAUUGAGUGGUUCAAACUUUUCCAAAAGAAAAGUUGACCAUUAGACAAAAUGUAGAACUUGAUGAGUGUAACAAACUUUGUAUUCAUGACUUUUCCAUUUGGGACAAUCUAGGGUUCGGUCAAAGGGUGUUUUUGUAGAAACCAAUGCUUUGACUUUGGUCAAACUUGAUCAAAUGGCCCAUUUGAUGACUUCAAAUGAAAAAUUUUUGAAUACAAAGUUGUUAGAGAUCAUCAAGAUCUACAUUUUAUAUAUUGUCCAUUUUUCCAUUUGGAUAAUUUUUAGCCAAUCAUAAUCACAUUUCUAUAAAAUCCAAGACAGGAUUUGGUCAAACUUGGUCAAAUGACAAACUAAAUUACUUAAAAUGAAAAAAUUUUGAAUACCAAGUUGUUAGAUAUCAUCAAGAUCUAAACUUUUUAUAUACACAACUUUUCCAUUUGAGAAAGUUUAAGUUAACAAUACCCACCAAUUCUUGAAUCUCACACAAACUAUAUGAAACUAUAUGUGUCAAUUGUGGAUUUUCAACUACACCUUCCUAAAACUUUGUCAAAUGCAAAAAUGGUCUAUAUAUUAAAUGUAGAUUUUGAUGAGUGGAACAAUAUUGGUAUUCAUGACUUUUCCAUUCGAGACCAUCUAGGGUUCCAAAACCGCUGCGUGGCUAUGAAUUCUCUGAAAAUUCAAAAUACAGUGGUUCAAACUUUUCCAAAAGAAAAGUUGACCAUUAGACAAAAUGUAGAACUUGAUGAGUGUAACAAACUUUGUAUUCAUGACUUUUCCAUUUGGGACAAUCUAGGGUUCGGUCAAAGGGUGUGUUCAUCAAGAUAUAUAUUUUUAUAUGAUAAAUAGAUUUUUUAUUCGAUGAAAACAAUACCCUACUAGCAUUCCGAGUAAUAAAUAACAAAAGUAAAAAGUUUAACGUCAAUAUGAUGUGAAAAUAGAUUUCCAGUAGAUUGGAUAUAGUUUUUGUAAAUUUAUUGGAAUAAUAUAUUUUUGCAUGAACAAAAUACUAAACAUUUCUUACAAAAUCAUUGCAAAUUAUAAAAAUACAGUAAGAUAUUUAAGGUUAAAAUUUUUCAUGUGUACAUUAAAAAAAAUUACAAUAUAUGUCACUGUUUAAAAAAUAUUAUGCAAAAUAUUUAAUUUACUAUACAAUUUAUAAUAUAAACUGUAUGUAAACUUUAGCACCGGUUCCAGACAAGGACCGGUGCUAAAGGGUCUGCCCCUAUAUAAGCCACAGGCGCUCUGGAUCUGAGCAGUUGCCUUCGUCUUCGUCUUCGUCGAGCAGAGAGCUCCGCCGCCGCCGUCCAACGCCGCCCGUUCGUCUCCACAGCACCGCCGUUCGUCUCCAGCGCCGCCGCCGCCAUCUCCAGCGCCGUCGCCGCCAUCUUCAGCAGAGCCGGCCGCCACCGGCCAUCUCCUUCGACGAACUCUGGCCGCCACGAUCAUACGUAUAUUCAUCGAUCUAUAUAUAUGCAUGAAUGCCAACAGUUUAUAUAUAUAGACUAAAAUUGUAUAUAUGAAUUGUAUAUAUAUAUGAAUACCAACAGUUUCGAUGAAUAAUAUGUUAUAUAUAUAUAUUACAUAUAUAUAUAUAUAUAUAUUAUAUAAAUAUAUGUAUCAUAUAUAUAUAUAUCUUAUAUAUGUAUAUAUAUAUUAUAUAAUGUUUUGAAUUGUUUUAAAUGUAUAUAUAUAGUAGUAGUAUGUCAGUCUCUAAUAUAUAUUAAUGUUUGUACUAUUAUUCUUAUAUUAUUUUGUAGUAUUAUUUUUUAGUAUAUUAUUCUAGUGUAUUACUUGGCUUAAAAGAUUCAAGUGUAUACAUAUACUAUUAUUGUUUACUAUUAUUCUAGUAUUAUUUUUUAGUAUAUUAUUCUAGUAUAUUACUUGGCUUAAAAGAUUCUAGUGUAUACAUAUACAUAUAUUAUUGUUUGUACUAUUAUUCUAGUAUUGUUUUUAGUAUAUUAUUCUAGUGUAUUACUUGGCUUAAAAGAUUCUAGUAUUAUUUUUAGAGCACUCCAACACUUUCAUUUGUAGUAGUACUAGUAGUAGUAUAUAAGUCUCUAAUAUAUAUUCUAGUAGUGUUUAGCCACCAAAUUUAUUCUAGUAGGGUUUUUUAUAUAUUAUUGUUUGUACUAUAUUAUUCUAGUAUUUUUUAGUAUAUUAUUCUAGUAUAUUACUUGGCUUAAAAGAUUCUAGUAUUAUUUUUAGAGCACUCCAGUAGUACUAGUAGUAGUAUAUAAGUCUCUAAUAUAUAUUCUAUUGGUGUUUACCCACCAAAUUUAUUCUAGUAGUGUUUUGUAUAUGUUAUUGUUUGUACUAUUAUUCUAGUAUUAUUUUUAGUAUAUUAUGAAUUCUAGUGUUUUAGUAUAUUAUGAAUUCUAGUGUUAUUGUUAGUAUUAUUUUUUUAGUAUAUUAUUCUAGUGUGUUUCUUAUCUUAUAUAGAAUAUAUAUAUGUAUGGUUGCAGACAUAGAAAUGGCUGACCGUCCUCAUGAUGAUCCUGAUUAUAUGGAAGAUGCCAUUCAAAAUAUGAUCAACGACGGUAGUCAGUACUUUAUUGAUUACAACGAGAUCAUGCAAGGCAAUCCGAUUGAGCAACAAGAGGGAAAUGCCCCUGAGUAACAAGAGGGCAAUGCGCCUGAGCAACAACUUGUCGUGAAACAAGAAGAAAAUACUGGCGAGGUAUGUAAAUGUAAACAUAUAUAAUUAAUGCAUCUCUUACAUUAGGUUUUAGACUUACUUGGUUAUUAAUUUAGUAUUUUUGUUCUUAUAUCUACGUGUAGCCUUCUGGAUCGACCUCUACGGGGAGAAGCGUACCUCCACGAGGGCCAAAGAAGCCGUUGGAGGGCCGCUAUGUAAUCUCUGAGUUUGAGAUAGCUACAGGCAGACCACUUGGUGAACAUGUAAAUAAAUAUGUUAGUCACUGUGGAUAUCUUGUGAUAGAUCAAAUACCGAUUAGUGCUCGUUAAUGGAGAGAGAAGCGAGGUGCUCCUAAGAUCAGUUUUGUCUCUGAUCGUGACAAGGACUUAGUUUGGAAAGCCGUCACAGACGUUUUUACCUUCGACACCAACGAUGAAGAGUUGAAGGUGCGAAUUUAUGACUGGAGUAUGAAGAAGAUGGCGGUACUGUUCCAGAAUUGGAAGAAGACUUUGUACAAUAAAUUUGUCAAGAAAAACGAGACUCCAAAUUUCAACCUCAAGCAAUACGUAAAGCUGAGGGUCUUCUGGGAUGACUUCGUGCAGUACAAAACAUUAGAAGAGGGCGAGGAACGAGCCAUUAGAAACAAAGAGAAUGCAAGUAAAAAGACAUACCACCAUCAUAUGGGAUCAGGUGGUUAUAAGAAUGUUGUAUCCAAGUGGGACCUAAUGGAACAGGAGAUGCUUGCUAGGGGGGUCACACCCGAGACAAUAGCAAAGAAUUGGAGCGAGCGCUCCAAGCAUUGGUUCUACGGUCAUGGGGGAAGCUUGGAUCCAGACACCGGGGCGCUAUUUUGGGGCCAAGAAAUCUCUAGAGCAGCAGAGAGACUAGUCCGUGCACGAGAGGCGGUUCAGUCUGGUGAGUUCAGGCCUAACAGGGAGAAGGAUGAACUCACCUAUGCGCUUGAAAAUCUUGAGCACGGUGGGCGCACGAGAGGCUAUGGGGCAGUUCCGUGGCUGCAAUCAUUCCAAGCCAAUCAAGAUACCUACAGAAGCUACCAGAGAAAGAAGGAUGAGGAGGAAGAGCGGAUCCGCCGCCUGGAAGCUUUUGUUCUGCAGUCAGAAGAGCGUGAGAAAGCUCGUGAAGAAUGGAUGCAGGCGGAGAUUCAAAGGCAAGUGCAAGCAGCACUUAGUCAAAUGACGAAAGGGCAAGGUACAUCACAGCCUGAGGUCAACGUUAGCCCCCCAUGCCAGUUGAAAAGCAGCUGCGGAUCCACGGAAGUACCAACCGUUCAGGAUGACACGAAGCUACACUUCCCCGUGGAUGAUGUCACAGAGGCUUUUAGUACCUGUGAGCUGCAUGUACCAGAUGGGAAUGCAACAAAAAAGGUGGCUAUCGCUGUUGUCAACCCUAUCGACCGAACGAGAAAUCCAACAAUCCAUAAUCGACCAGUACCUAGUGGAUAUGCUAGCGUCUCGGUUGAUAGGGUUGAGAAAGGUUGUGGCAAUGUGCCUCUAGACAUAGAAGGGGAGACAGAGAGAAGACAUUAGGUGAAGCUGAGAAGACAUUUAUUUGUUGGCGCAAGCUCUUCAUAAUUAUUCCUCAACAUAGGUUUGUGUGUGAUUUUACUUCUUAUAUUAUUUAUUAUGUAUUGAAAUUAAAAAAGAGUUUGCUCACAAAACUUGUAAUUGUUUUCUUUGCAGGGACUCCUCCAACCUAAGUCCAGUUCUCUCCCCAGCGCAUCAUAGUGCUGCGGGCGGUGACAAUGCUGGAUCUCCUCCAACACCUGCGGCGGCCACACCGACCCCGCCACCGCCUCCACCACGGUCUCCACCUCCUCCACCGAGGUCUCCAACUCCUCCACCGCAUUCUCCAACACCGAAAAGAUCGGCCCCACCACCUCCACCGCCUGCACCGCCCUCUCCAAAGUGUACACGGUCGGUCCCCUCGCCUCCAAAGCGAGGUAGUCACAAGUGGUCCGCCCAAGAACGACCGAAGUCAUCGGUCCCACCUCCAAAGAAGGCUGCCUCAGCAAAGAGAGCUAAGACUCCAGAAAAAUUAUCUUAUGAAAAUAGUGAAGAGGAGGUAAUUGCUGCAUCCAAAGCUGAGGUGAAACAAUUUUUUGAUAAAUUGAAGGAGGAUAGAAAAAAGCGGCUAAACCCAGAAAAGCCGUACUUUUAUGUAAAGCCAUUGGAACUGAGGCAGAAGGUGGCGGACCAGCAAAAGAAGCAACCCGAAGCUCAGAAAAAGUCAGCACUUUCGGACUAUGAGCGGUCUCUGGUCAAGUCUUCACAGCCUAGAAAGAGGGUCCCACAGCUCGGAGAAGUAUCAAAACCGGUGCCCCCUUUGAUUGUGCCAAAUCAAUACGGCUCAAAUGAAGACUUCAUGCCAAAGAAAUCCUUAGCGUUGUCUGAGCUCGACUCGCUUGAGCGUUUCUUUCGACACACAAAUGUUUGCAAUAAACAAAUGGUGCAUUGAGGCGUCUAAAAGGGGAGAGAAUUGGAUUUCUGUUCGUAUUAGACAACAUCACUACUUCUGUGGAGAUGACCUCAUAUACGUGCAGUUCGAAGAAUUGCACCAACUAUGUCACCUCGACGCUCUCGACAAAUCUCUUGUCAGCUACUUUUGUCUGUAAGUAUUUUUUCUUUUUAUUAUACUUCUAACUUCUUUAAUUACAUGUAUAUAAUCCUUACACACUUAGAAUUUAUAUGUAUAUAUGCAGGCACCAAAUGAGAGAGCUCAGAAUCAGAAAUGACAAUAGUAUUGGGUUCGUUGACCCUUAUAUUGUUUUCAAGGCUCCGCAGGCAGUGUGGACAGCAGCUCAUGAGACAGAAGUAUGCACCAAUCUUAUGAGGUUCUUUGUGAACCAAAAAGGAAAAACAAAAAAUACUCUUCCCCUUCAACUUCGAGUGAGUUAUAUAGUUAUUAAGUGCAUGCAUAUUUUAUUUUAAUAAUUAUUACUCGAGACAAGUUUUAUAUAGUUAUAUAUAGGCCUGACUAUAUAUAUAUAUGUGUGUAAACAGCUUUCACUGAAUACUCAUGGUCAUUGAAAUUCCCAAGAACCGGUUGAUAAUCUUUGACUCAAUGAGAAAACCAAAAGAAAAUUAUCAACAAAUGGUAAACAUUAUUCAAAGGUACGUAAUAUCAAUCUCAGCUAGAACAAUAUGAUAAUAUGACUCUGUAAUUAUUAGUUCACGAUCCACAAUGGCUGUGUGUAGGGUUUGGGAAAGAUUCAUUGACCGUGAACAUCUCAGUGGAUGUAAAGCGCCGCUUAACAUCCACAAGUAAGUUCUACUAGCUAGCAAACUUUCGCUAACUUUUAGCCUUCUUAUUGUCAUGGUCGUGAAUAUUAUAUAUAUAUAUAUCGUACAGUGGUGUUUAAGACAAGAAGGGGGGAACAAUCUAUGUGCAUAUUACGUGUGCAAAUUCAUGAUGGCACAAGUCAAUCAAACACCCACAGAGACUGCUCAGAGUACGUUACAUGUCUCUUUUCAUUAUCUCCUGAAUUAUAUUGAAUAACUUAGAUAACUAAUACUUUUUUAUUUAUUUCAAAUUAAAGACGGAAUGGUUGAGGGAAAAGGUCAUACAAAAAGACUGAAUCAAAGCUAUCCAAGAGACGAUAGCAGGAUUUCUCCGCGAGCAAGUGAUCAAUCCAAACGGCGAGUUUCACUUCAACGGCAACGAAACUCUUAUUCCAAACAACGAUGAUCAUUUGUAUCGUUUUUAGACAUUGGGAUAAAAAACUCUAUGUAUAUAUGUGUUACGAAUUUUGUACUUAUAAAACUAUAUAUAUAUAUAAAGCUUUUUACAUAUCUAUUUAAUUUUUGAUGUGGCCUAUUCAUUUUAUUAUAGGCAAAGCUUAAUUAUAAAGCUAAGCCUAUAAUUUUCAUUUAUAUAUGCUUAAUAUGCGUGUAAUAUAAAUAUAUUAUUGUAUCAGCAAAAAUAUGUAUUAAAAAACCUAUUAUUAUUAUAUAUAAAAACAAUAAACAGAACCGAAGAUGUGAACCAAAAAAAAAGAAACCAUUAACACCGGUUGGUAAUACCAACCGGUGUUAAAGGCUCCUGCAACGUGGCAGCCCUGGCAGGA
This 47591-nucleotide long non-coding RNA is filed under the name Sorghum bicolor (sorghum). Its description in RNAcentral is "long non-coding RNA (SBIC_LNC001159)". The stretch from base 28559 to 28652 matches the Rfam family "MIR5387 microRNA precursor family". Lineage: Eukaryota; Viridiplantae; Streptophyta; Magnoliopsida; Poales; Poaceae. The record is from RNAcentral.